UCGGGUGGCGAGGUGUCGGUGUGACGGCUGGCGGCCUUCGUUGGUGCUGGUGGCCAGGUUCCUCGGCCGCUCGGGAGGCCUCUGGUGGGUGGUGGUCGCGGCGGGAGGCCUUCUUCUUCGUCAGAUCUGAAGGUAUGACUCCUCCACCUUUCUAGCUCACUCCUCCUCCCCCAUACAUGGUGUCCGUCGGCCUUGGCUGCCGGCGCGCUGGCUGGGGAGAUGCUGGUGGCACGGAUUUGGGUCCGGGGGAAACCCUAGGCCGGCUGGUCCGGCCUCGGCGGCGGCGACGCCCAAGGGCGCCGCUUUCCAUCCUUGGAGGCGCCGCUGAGGACCCUCCCUGUCCACCCCCUACCUUGCUCCCGAGCGAAAGCUCAAAAUCCUCUCCGGAUUGGGCGGUGGCGUCGCCGUUCGCGUCGUGCUCUCCUUGGAGACGCCGCCUGGGGAUGCUGAAGGUUUGGGUGAGUGUUGCCUUGGUGUGGAGGCGUCUGGCAGCUGCUUUGUCCUCUCUACAGUGGCCAGCGAUGUCAUGAUUUGCAGAUCCGGCGCCCCCUUUGAUGGUUUCUCUCCGGUGUGGCUGUUGCCGUGUUGUUGAGUACCCGAAUCUUCUCUGCGGCGUUCGAUUUUGCGCUCGUGAUGCUCGCUGUUGUGGCUUGGCUCAGUGCUGUUUCAUCCUCUUCGAUUGCCCCAUGUGGCUUUCCCUCUUUGCUGAUUGUCCGUGGGCGGCGACCUUGUAGCUGGCGUGGUGUGCUUUUGGCUACGUGCAGGUCAGGAGGCGUGCUCUAGACGAGUGGUCGUGAAGCUGGCUCCUAUCCAAGCUCUCGGGUGAGCAUCUCUCUUGCCGACGAGGGUAGGGGCCCUUUUCGGCAUCUGAGGAGAUAGGAGUUGUCCCUUCUCCGCCCGAUGCUCCAGACACAAUCUUGGUCCUUCUCUUAGCAGACGGCUGAUCCAUUGCAAUCUACUAUGUUCGGGUGUCCUUGGCCCUUAGUGUAGUGGGCAGAGACACUAGCAAGCUGUGCUCUUUUUUCCUAUUUUGUGCUUGUUAGUGAGUGUUGCGUUGUAAGCUGCUCCAUCAGCCCCUUGUAUCCUUUACGUCUUUGUUAGCUCUGUUGGUUCUUUGUAACGCCUGGUCGGUUGAUGGCUUUGUUAAUUCAAAGCCGGGCUCUUCUUGAGCCUUCGUUCCAAAAAAAAUUGUCCAACCUUUUUUUCCCUCUCACUCUUCUCUUGUUUUGUUUUUUGUAUUGGCACCCAUGGUAGCCCAUAGACCAGCCCUUGGCGGUGAGAUCAACUCGGCGGUGCAAUGUAAUGUAAUGUAAUGUAUGUGAGUAUCUGCGAUUGUACAGUGUUAAAAAAAAGAACUAGCAAUCGGUCAUAAUUUAUUCUNNNNNNNNNNNNNNNNNNNNNNNNNNNNNNNNNNNNNNNNNNNNNNNNNNNNNNNNNNNNNNNNNNNNNNNNNNNNNNNNNNNNNNNNNNNNNNNNNNNNNNNNNNNNNNNNNNNNNNNNNNNNNNNNNNNNNNNNNNNNNNNNNNNNNNNNNNNNNNNNNNNNNNNNNNNNNNNNNNNNNNNNNNNNNNNNNNNNNNNNNNNNNNNNNNNUAGCAAAGAUCUCACACAAAUGCAUUAUCUUGUCACAGGUCUAAAGGAACACCGAGCAACACCUUCAAACUAUUAGUUUACAAAUAACAUAUUUGCACUCACCCGAUUUUGAUUUCUCAACUUUCAAUACCAAGCAAAUUCACCUUGCAACUAUUGAAACUAUCUCUAAAGAAAACUUUUGAAACCGGAAAACAUAUUCCUCGGCUGGCUCAAACCUAUUUGAUAGAUUCUCGUUGCAAUGGUUUCACACAUGUGACGAUCUAGCUAACACAAAUAAUAAAAUUAUAUAUAGGAAUCCUAUUUUUAAAUCUAGUGGUUUUAUUUAAAAAAUAGUAGAUUUAUUAUUAAAAUGUUGUAAAAUUUCUAAAAUCAUGAAACACUUAGAAAUAAUUGAAAUGGAACAUGAAUAUUAAUGUAUUAUAUAAAUUUUAGUAAGAAUGGGAUGUUCGCAAUGCAAAAAAAUUAAGAAAUAGAAAGACAAGUUUUCUGUGUAAAGAUCACAAAACUUGCCAUACUAGUGCUGCAUUUUUUUUGGGGAAAAAACACAAAUAAUUUAAGAACUUGUGUUUUAUUUUGAAAAAUCUAGAGUUACAAUAUAAUUCCAUAUUUUAUUAAAAAACUGCAAAUAUAAUUUUUUAAAAAGAAGUAUUUGGGGAAUAAGAUCAUAAACAUUCCCUAAAAACAGAAGUUUAUAUAUAAAAAAUCUAGAGUACAGUAUAAUUUCAUAUUUUAUAAAACCACAAAUAUAAUUUUUAACAAAGAAGUAUUUAGGGAAUAAGACCAUAAACAUUCCCUGAAAACAGAAGUAUUUAGGGAAAAUAUCAUAAACUGAAGUAUUUAGGGGAAAAUAUAAGUAAAAAACGCCUUAUAUUUUGAGAUAGAGGGAGUACUUCUUUGGAAAAUCACAAAUAGUUUAUGAACAAAUAUGUUGAUUAUCUAUGACAGUUCCUAAACUUAUUUUUUAUAUAAAUUCCGGAGUUGCAAUAUAACUUCGUAAUUUCGAACUUAUCCUGUUUCCAUACUUUUUACAUUUACUGCAUGUAUUUAGAUUUUUAUUGCUAAAUUAGAUUCGUUUUUUAGUAGACUGUCACGUGCGUGAAACCAUUGUCAUGUCAUGGAUCAAACCACAUUGGGUCAUGUAAGGAACCAAAUUUAUCCGAGGUCAAGGCCCAAACCAUGCAUAUUGUUUUCUUCAAAGUUGACAACAUUCUAUAUCUUUGCGAGUCAUGUCCUACUUCUACGCCGAAUUUCACUCGCUUUUGCCUACCAGCUUUGUUUGGAUGAAUUACUUUACUAUACUUAUUGUUUGUUGUUAUUUCACUGUAGAUGAUCCUUGACGAGGCAGUUAAAAUUUAGCAUAGUAAAUACGAACAUGAGUUUCAAUCACAAAAUCUCAAAAGAAUCGCGCACAAGCAUCAAAUUAUAUGCUUACUCGAACCAACGAUCUGAUCAUCUGGAAGCGGCCCAUGAGAAAACACGCAAAAAGGUGUAGGCAGAACAGAUGCCACACGGCGCGCAGAAAUAUAGUGAGUAUCCGAUGCUCACCGAGACGAGUGCCGUGUAGAAGGCGACCUGCACGCGGCCGCCGAGGACGUCGACGGCGGCCUCGUGGAUGCCGGGGAGCCGCUUGACGGCCUUCUCAACCGAGCCGGCGCACGCGGCGCACGUCAUCCCGGACACCGCGAACACCGCCACCUUCUCCUCUUCCUCCUCCUCCUCCGCUGCCUCCAGAUCGACAGCGGCUGACCCGCCUUCUCCUCCACCGCCCUCGCCGGCGACCGCGGCGGCCCUCGGUUGCCGCGGCAUGGACGGGUACCGCGGCCGCAGCGUGAGGUGGCCGCUCUCAUCGGAGCCGCUGCUGUGGAAGCAUGUGAGGAAGAGGGACCGAGUGGCCGCCGCCAUUGGGAGCGUGAAGAGAAGGUUUUAGGUUGGGUUGGGGGUUCUGAUCGGGGGUGGGAAAAAUGGUUCGAACAUUUGCAGAUUUUAUAGUCGUACCUGCCCGACGCGCCGGAACGGAAAAUACUGCACGUAGCCACGUACGCCGUUCGGUUACUCAACUCACCAUUUUGUAAUGGGUGGGCUUGGGCCGCAAGCAAGUGAGGGAUUGGACGGCUAGUUUCUUAAGCGGGCCGCGACGACCUCGGACUGUCGAAGACGUCAGACACUCGACACGCAGCCCAGGGGGUCCUCUGGGGAGAAGUCGAAUUUUCUUUCCUUCUUUUUCUUAAUGACGCUCGGCAAGAAACCCACGCUUAAAUCCAAACACGGCAUUCAAACUUUGACAUUCGUGCUCACAUUUCGAAGUACUACACGUAUUCAGUCGGUUUUGUUUUAAAAAGAGCGCAAGUUGCAUGAUUGUAGGCAGCACGCCACACAAAAGAUCCAAUUCGAAUUUGACUUGGAGUUGCUUAUGAUAGCAGGACGCUCCCACGCAUGUCGCCUCAGGGGUCAGAGCUAAGCAAAUGUGAUGUGAUGUCGAAUUCGAAUUAAAUUAUCGGAAGACCCCCGGUGCCCACGAAUCAAAUUCGAGCCCCGGUUCCGAUUUGCCUUUGAAUUUGGUCCCCCGUUUCAAAAGCAACGAAUGCCAGAAAUCAUGAUGCCACGACAGGUGACCUUGGUAAAAUUAACCAGCCGUUCUUUUCACAUCUUCCUGGUGUACGUCUACGUGCGUGGAGUGUAGACCAAUCUCCCUGGUAGCAGGAGCCAAUCAUGGAACCUCUCAUGCAUUUCUUUGAAGAAAUGCAUGCAAUAACGCAGAGACAUAAAACGCCCGGAGGACGGAGGACGGUCUUGGUUCACUGAAUGAUUCAUCAGACGGUUUGGUUCACUGAAUCUUUGAUUCCUGGACACUUGCUUCUUCUUCUGUUAUUAUAAAGAGCCUGAGGUUGCCAUUUCGUUAAACUACCCCAUGCAUGGUCGCGAUGACGUUUUUUAUGGAAGGGAGCUACCCCAAUCAGAUGAAUUCAGAAUUCAGAAAAUGUAAGCAAGCUGAGAAUGUCAUGCGUACGUGGACGCUUUUCGUUGUCUUCGCCCGAUAGAAGUCACCGCAGUGUAUUAGUAGUGUUGAGAGAAUUAUAUGGUUGAUGGAUGUUUGAAGUUGAAUCCGUUGCAGAGAGAGCAAAAAAUAUUUGAAUCGCUUGGAAUGACGUGCACACGUAGCCUAAACCAAAUAUAUAUCGGGGAAGUCAAAUUCCGAUAGGAGAUUGAUGACCAAUACGACAGGGAUUGCGUGGUAAAUAAUCAAGUGUUCCUUGUUUUGACACCAUCCCAGCAUCGUCGGACGAAGAUAACUUAGCUGGCAAUCAAAUGAAUUGACUAAUGUGUCGCAACUGAUUGAUUUGUAUAGGCUGGUUAUAGGUUCGUUACGGGUAGGUUGAUUCUUUGGUGUAGCAAGUAGCAACUAGUGGCAUCAAAUUCUGGUUUCACACGGAGCGUAGCUGCGAGCUCGAGCGUAGCCACCACCCUCGACUCCACGCUGCGCCACUCCGGCCGCUGCGGCCACCGCCCCACCUCUGUCGCUGCCCGCGGGGCAGCGGCGCCACCACCCCGUGUUGGUGCAAAAACCCUAACCCUAGCUAGCCCUAGCUCUCUCUCUCUCUGUGGCACGAACCGGGAAGGAAUGAGGAAGACACGAUGAACAGGAAGCUUUUCCAGCGCACGAACGCCCGUCGCAACCACGACGUUUCCUUGAGCACGAACUUAACACCUCCGCCGUUAUAACGAUCGAUGCCGCGAUCUUAUACCCGGGCCAGCGCUGGGCCACGGCCCCCACGCCUCUACCCACUACUGCGCCUGGUUCGGCACGCUCCGUGCGCGCCCACGACCGCGCCUCCACGCACUCGCCGCGCCGAGCCCGCAACGAACCAACGCGAUCACCACGUCCCGAUUGCCAAUGGCUUCGCCCCACACACACACACCCGGUGUACAGAUGCACGAACACGCCCGCGCACCACAUGCACACCUACGCCGCAAACCCGACGCGCCCGACACGCCUAGCGUUCGCCCAUGCACGCGCUCGACGCGUCCGACUCGUCGCCACAGCUUAUUAUGCCCAACACACACCCCUUAAGCCAUGGCUCAGAGGAGGCCAUCUUGCUACCUCUUGAGCAUUGCGUUGGUUUUUCCUAGUGCAUUUUGAGGAAGCCCAUCAUUGGAAUAUACAAGUCAAGUUCUAUAAUGAAAAAUUUCCACUAGUAUAUGAAAGUGACUAAAUCAGGAGACUCUCUAUCAUGAAGUUCAUGGUGCUACUUUGAAGCACAAGUGUGGAAAAAAGAUAGUAACAUUGUCCCUUCUCUCUUUUUCUCUCUUUUUUUCUUUUUUUUCUUUGGGCCUUUUCUUUUUUUUUCUUGGCCUCUUCUCCUUUUUUUUAUUAGUCCGGAAUCUCAUCCCGACUUGUGGGGGAAUCAUAGUCUCCAUCAUCCUUUUCUCACAUGGGACAAUGCUCUAAUAAUGAUGAUCAUCACACUUUUAUUAUUUACAACUCAAUACUUAGAACAAAAUAUGACUCUAUGUGAAUGCCUCUGGCGGUGUACCGGGAUAUGCGAUGAAUCAAGAGUGACAUGUAUGAAAAAAUAUGAAUGGUGGCCUUGCCACAAAAUACGAUGUCAACUACACGAUCAUGCAAAGCAAUAUGACAAUGAUGAAGCGUGUCAUAAUAAACGGAACGGUGGAAAGUUGCAUGGCAAUAUAUCUCGGAAUGGCUAUGGAAAUGCCAUGAUAGGUAGGUAUGGUGGCAGUUUUGAGAAAGAUAUAAGGAGGCUUAUGUGUGAUAGAGCGUAUCAUAUCACGGGGUUUGGAUGCACCGGCGAAGUUUGCACCAACUCUUAAGGUGAGAAAGGGCAAUGCGCGGUACCGUAGAGGCUAGAAAAUUGUGGAAGGUUGAGAGUGCGUAUAAUCCAUGGACUCACAUUAGUCAUAAAUAACUCAUAUACUUAUUGCAAAAGUUUAUUAGCCCUCGAAGCAAAGUACUACUACGCAUGCCCCUAGAGCGAUAGAUUGGUAGGAAAAGACCAUCGCUCGUCCCCGACCGCCACUCAUAAGGAAAGCAAUAAAAGAACACCUAUGUGUCAAAAUUGUUACACAACUUUUACCAUACGUGCAUGCUACGGGACUUGCCAACUUUAACACAAGUAUCUCUCAAUUUCACAAUUACUCAACUAGCACACUCUAAUAUUACCACCUUUAUAUCUCAAAACACUUAUCAAGUAUCUAACUUCUCAUGAUAUUUAAUGAACUUAAUAUGGAAGAUUAAUUUCAUAAUUAAAGCAAAUUACCAUGCUGUUUAAGACUCUCAAAAUAAUAUAAGUGAAGCAUGAGAGAUCAAUAAUUUCUAUAAAAUACGACCACCGCCGUGCUCUAAAAGAUAUAAAUGAAGCACUAGAGCAAAAACUAUAUAGCUUAAAAGAUAUAAGUGAAGCACAUAGAGUAUUCUAACAAAUUCCGAAUAAUGUGUGUCUCUCUCAAAAGGUGUGUACAGCAAGGAUGAUUGUGGCAAACUAACAAACAAAGACUCAAAUCAUACAAGAUGCUCCAAGCAAAACACACAUCAUGUGAUGAAUAAAAAUAUAGCUCCAAGUAAAGUUACCGAUGGGUGAGGACGAAAGAGGGGAUGCCUUCCGGGGCAUCCCCAAGCUUUGGCUUUUUGGUGUCCAUGGAUUUACCUUGGGGUGCCUUGGGCAUCCCCAAGCUUAGGCUCUUGCCACUCCUUGUUCCAUAAUCCAUCAAAUCUUUUACCCAAAACUUAAAAACUUCACAACACAAAACUUAACAGAAAAUCUCGUGAGCUCCGUUAGCGAAAGAAAACAAAACACCACUUCAAGGUACUGUAUUGAACUCAUUCUUUAUUUAUAUUGGUGUUAAACCUAAUUUAUUCCAACUUCUCUAUGGUUUAUAAACUAUUUUACUAGCCAUAGAUUCAUCAAAAUAAGCAAACAACAUACAAAAAACAGAAUCUGUCAAAAACAGAACAGUCUGUAGUAAUCUGUAACUAACGCAAACUUCUGGAACUCCAAAAAUUCUACCAAAAUAGGAUGACCUAGAUAAUUUGUUUAUUGAUCUGCUGCAAUUGUAAUCAGUAUUUUAUCACGUUCUGGUGAUUUUUAACAAUUGUUUUCGUGAACAGAAAGUUUCUGGAUUUUCAGCAAGAUCAAAUAACUAUCAUCCAAGAAGAUCCUAUAGGUUUAACUUGGCACAAACACUAAUUAAAACACAAAAACAAAUCUAACCAGAGGCUAGAUUAAAGAUUUAAUCCUAAACAGAACCAAAAAGCAAAAAACUAAAAAUAAAAUUGGGUUGCCUCCCAACAAGCGCUAUCGUUUAACGCCCCUAGCUAGGCAUAAAAGCGAGGAUAGAUCUAGGUAUUGCCAUCUUUGAUAGGCAAUCUAUAAGUGGCUCUCAUAAUAGAUUCAUAUGGUAAUUUAAUUUUCUUUCUAGGGAAGUGUUCCAUGCCUUUCCUUAACAGAAAUUGGAAUCUAAUAUUCUCUUCCUUCAUAUCAAUAAUUGCACCGAUCGUUCUAAGGAAAGGUCUACCAAGAAUAAUAGGACAUAAAGGAUUGCAAUCUAUAUCAAGAACAAUGAAGUCUAUGGGCACAUAAUUCCUAUUUGCAACAAUAAGAACAUCAUUAAUUCUUCCCAUAGGUUUCUUGAUAGUGGAAUCCGCGAGAUGCAAGUCUAAAGAGCAAUCAUCAAAUUCAUGGAAACCUAACAAAUCACACAAAGUUUUUGGAAUCGUGGAAACACUAGCACCCAAAUCACACAAAGCAUAGCAUUCAUGAUCUUUAAUUUUAAUUUUAAUUGUAGGUUCCCAUUCAUCAUAAAGUUUUCUAGGGAUAGAAACUUCCAACUCAAGUUUUUCUUCAUAAGAUUGCAUUAAAGCAUCAACGAUAUGUUUAGUAAAAGCUUUAUUUUGACUAUAAGCAUGAGAUGAAUUUAGCACGGAUUGCAACAAGGAAAUACAAUCUAUCAAAGAGCAAUUGUCAUAAUUAAAUUCCUUGAAAUCCAAGAUAGUGGGUUCAUUGCUAUCUAAAGUUUUAACCUCUUCAAUUCCACUUUUACCAAUUUUUGCAUCAAGAUCUAAAAACUCCGAAUUUUUGGGACGCCUUCUAACUAAAGUUGACUCAUCUCCAGUCCCAUCAUUAUCAAGAUUCAUAUUGCAAAACAAAGAUUUAAUAGGGGACACAUCAAUAACUUUUAAAUCUUCAUCUUUAUUAUCAUGAAAAUUUUCCGGUUUAGCGGCCAUCUUAUUAACUAAGGUGGCCUGCUUAUCUGAGAUUUCAGCUAUUAGUUUUUCGAGAUGAGCAAUCUGAGAUUUCAAACCAUAAAAUUCCUUAGACAUAUCAUCGAGCUCUUUAUUCAUAUAUCCCAUAAAAGCUUUUUUGUUCCUUAAGCUCGUUUCUAAAGAAAUUAUUAUGCUCAAAUUGUAAAGUCAUAAAACUUCUGACGUUGCUUUCAAUCUCUUCUAACCUUUUAAGGUGAAGAUCACCAAAUCUAGGUAGAGCCAUCGUGACAAGCAAGCAAUCCAACACACGAGCAAACAAGAAGCAAGCGAAAAAGAGGCGAAGGGAAAAGGAGGGCGAAUAAAACGACAAGGGUGAAGUGGGGAGAGAAAAACUAGAGGCAAAUGGCAAAUAAUGUAAUGCGAAGGAUAAGAGUUUGUGAUGGGUACUUGGUAUGUCUUCACUUGUCUUGGCGCACACCUCCCCGGCAAUGGCGCCAGAAAUCCUUCUUGCUACCUCUUGAGCACUGCGUUGGUAUUCCCUUGAAGAGGAAAGGGUGAUGCAGUAAAGUAGCGUAAGUAUUUCCCUCAGUUUUUUAGAACCAAGGUAUCAAUCCAGUAGGAGGUCACGCCCAAGUCCCUUGCACCUACACAAACAAAUAAGAACCUCGCAACCAACGCGAUAAAGGGGUUGUCAAUCCCUUCACGGUCACUUACGAGAGUGAGAUCUGAUAGAGAUGAUAAGAUAAUAUUUUUGGUAUUUUUAUGAUAAGGAGUAAAAGUAAAGAAAGCAAGUAAACAGUAAUGGAAAUAACGGGAGAUUAAUAUGAUGGAAAAUAGACCCGGGGGCCAUAGGUUUCACUAGUGGCUUCUCUCAAGAUAGCAUAAGUAUUACGGUGGGUGAACAAAUUACUAUCAAGCAAUUGAUAGAAUUGAGCAUAGUUAUGAGAAUAUCUAUGUAUGAUCAUGUAUAUAGGCAUCACGUCCGUGACAAGUAGACCGAAACGAUUCUGCAUCUACUACUAUUACUCCACACAUCGACCGCUAUCCAGAAUGCAUCUAGAGUAUUAAGUUCAUAAGAACAGAGUAACGCUUUAAGCAAGAUGACAUGAUGUAGAGGGAUAAAUUCAUGCAAUAUGAUAUAAACCCCAUCAUUUUAUCCUCGAUGGCAACAAUACAAUAUGUGCCUUGCUGCCCCUGCUGUCACUGGGAAAGGACACCGCAAGAUUGAACCCAAAACUAAGCACUUCUUCCAUUGCAAGAAAGAUCAAUCUAGUAGGCCAAACCAAACUGAUAAUUCGAAGAGACUUGCAAAGAUAACCAAUUAUACAUAAAAGAAUUCAGAGAAGAUUCAAAUAUUGUUCAUAGAUAAUCUUGAUCAUAAACCCAUAAUUCAUCGGAUCUCGACAAACACACCGCAAAAGAAGAUUACAUCGAAUAGAUCUCCAAGAGAGUCGAGGAGAACUUUGUAUUGAGAUCCAAAGAGAGAGAAGAAGCCAUCUAGCUAAUAACUAUGGACCCGAAGGUCUGAGGUAAACUACUCACACAUUAUCGGAGAGGCUAUGGUGUUGAUGUAGAAGCCCUCCGUGAUCAAUGCCCCCUCCGGCAGGACGCCGGAAAAGGCCCCAAGAUGGAUCUCACGGGUACAGAAGGUUGCGGCGGUGGAAUUAGGUUUUCGUGGUCGCUUCUGAUGGUUUGGGGGUACGUAGGUAUAUAUAGGAGGAAGAAGUAGGUCGGUGGAGCCACGAGGGGCCCACGAGGAUGGAGGGCGCGCCUGGGGGGGUAGGCGCGCCUGGGGGGUAGGCGCGCCCCCCUACCUCGUGGCUUCCUCGUCUGUUGCUUGACGUCCACUCCAAGUCCUCUGGAUCACGUUUGUUCCAAAAAUCACGUUCCCGAAGGUUUCAUUCCGUUUGGACUCCGUUUGAUAUCCUUUUUCUGCGAAACACUGAAAUAGGCAAAAAAAUAACAAUUUGGGCUAGGCCUCCGGUUAAUAGGUUAGUCCCAAAAAUAAUAUAGAACUGUAUAAAUAAGCCCAUUAAACAUCCAAAACAGAAUAUAUAAUAGCAUGGAACAAUCAAAAAUUAUAGAUACGUUGGAGACGUAUCACAUCGUCCUCGACACCGGCGUCCACCAGCAGCGCGCGCUCCGCCGCCGGCUCCUUACGCAGAUGGGGGCACUCCCUCUUCAAGUGACCGCGCUCGCCGCACUUGUAGCAUCGCCCCGCGCCGCUUGUUCCGCCACCCGAUGCCGUGCUCGCCGCGCCGUCGUCGUCGUUGAAGCUGCCGCCACCCUGACGUCGUUGCCGCGCCUGCCGCUGUGCCGCCGUGUACAUCGGCUGGUCGUCCGCCCGCUCGCCGCUCGCUUGUCCAUGCAGUUGCAGCCUCUCCUCGAACGCCUUUAGCCACCCGAGAGCUUCCUCGAACGGCAUGGAGUUCAUGUCGCAGAACUGCUCCAUUCCGGUGACGGCGGCGUACAAGCGACCCGGGCCCGAGUCCAAGAGCUUCUUCACCAUCGUCGGAUCGUCCAGCAUCGACCCCAGCCCAGCAUAGUGAGCCGCCAUGCCGCUGAUCUUGCCAGCGAAGGCGCCAUCGUCUCGCCGCUCUGCAUCCGCAGCAGCUCGAAGUCACUACGCAGCGUGGCCAGCCGCGCCGCCCUCACGCGAUCGACUUCGACGAACCGCGCCUUGAGGCUGCUCCAGACCUCCGCCGCCGUCUUCAUGGAUGCGACCUGCACCAAGAGAUCCUCAGCGGGCGCGCCAAGCAGGUACGCCCACGCCGACUUGUCCUUCUUGGCGAUCACCGCCGCUGCCGCGUCCUCCACCGGCACCAUCGCUUCCCACAGCCCGGCCGCGUCCAGGUUGGCAUUCACCUUGAUCGCCCAUGUGGUGUAGUUAUCACUAGUGAGCAUCGGGACGGGCGUCGGUAGCGAGCUCCCCGACCUGCCGGCGUACGGCACGAUCGACAUCGUCGGUGAUCGCCUCCCGCAACCUGGCUCUGAUGCCAAUUGUUGGUGCAAAAACUCUAACCCUAGCAAGCCCUAGCUCCUCUAUAGCUCUCUCUCUCUCUCUCUCUCUCUCUCUAUCUAUCUAUCUAUCUCUAUCUCUCUCUCUCUGUGUGGCACGAACCGGGGAGGAAGAAGGAGGAAGACACGAUGAACAGGGAGCUUUUCCAGCACACGCAUGCCCGCCGCAACCACGGCGUUUCCUUGAGCACGAACUCAACACCUUCGUCGUUACAACGAUCGACGCCGCGAUCUUAUACCCGGGCCAGCGCUGGGCCACGACCCCCAUGCCUCUACCCACUACUUCGCCUGGUUCGGCCCGCUCUUCGCGCGCCCACGACCGCGCCUCCACGCACUCGCCGCGCCGAGCCCGCAACAAACCAACGCGAUCACCGCGUCCCGAUCGCCAACGGCUUCGCCCCACACACACGCGCGCGGUGUACACAUGCACAGACAUGCCCGCGCACCACACGUACGCACACACGCACACCUACGCCGCGGACCCGACACGCCCGACAUGCCUAGCGCGCGCCCAUACACGCGCUCGACGCGUCCGACUCGUCACCACGGCUUAUUAUGCCCAACACCCCGCACCCCAUGGCCCAUGUCGAGUCCCGCAGAUCCACCAGGUCCCUGCGCUCCCACUCGUGCGAUGCCUCUCGAUGGGGCACACCGUCCUCGAGCCCAGAUUCGCUUUCUUUCAGUGGUCCUUCUCUAGUGCCAGACUUGUAGCUGCAUCGACCAGCGUCAAUGACUUAUCUAGGCAAUCCGCCGCGUAUCCUGCUGCGGGGUGAGUGCUCCCACGCAACACCACCACUCCCCCGGCGGUACAAGCAGCGGCUCCACUCUUCGGGCAACAUAGACUAAAAUCCAUCAUAGUUAGGCCCUUCCCCGCGCCCUACCCCCUUCCACCUUGCGAUGAGGACGGAUGGACGACGGUCGAGUCCCGGAAGGCGCGCAAUGUAGGAAAGAAGGCAACGGUCCGUAACACAUGCCAGCGGCUGCGCCGGUCGGCCAAGGGUGCUGCCAUUAAUGGCCAUGACGAGCGCGCGGCCUUCUUAAGCCGCUUCGACGGCAUCUGCUUCCGCUGCCGCAGCACCGAGCACCGCCGGAUAAAUUGCAGAGACCCACUUAGAUGCAUCAUUUGCAAGCUGCCAGGACACUAUGGUAGAGAGUGAUGACCCAUAAGUAUAGGGGAUCUAUCGUAGUCCUUUCGAUAAGUAAGAGUGUCGAACCCAACGAGGAGCAGAAGGAAAUGACAAGUGGUUUUCAACAAGAUAUUCUCUGCAAGCACUGAAAUUAUCGGUAACAGAUAGAUUUGUGAUAAGGUAAAUCAUAACGGGUAACAAGUAAAUGAAGUAACUAAAGUGCAGCAAGGUGGCCCAAUCCUUUUUGUAGCAAAGGACAAGCCUCGACAAACUCUUAUAUAAAGCAAAGCGCUCCCGAGGACACAUGAGAAUUGUUGUCAAGCUAGUUUUCAUCAUGCUCCUAUGAUUCACGUUCGUUACUUUGAUAAUUUGAUAUGUGGAUGGACCGGUGCUUGUGCGUUGCCCUUCCUUGGACAAGCCUCCCACUUAUGAUUAACCCCUCUCGCAAGCAUCCACAACUAUGAAAGAAGAAUGAAGGUAAAACUAACCAUAGCAUGAAACAUAUGGAUCCAAAUCAGCUCCUUACGAAGCAACGCAUAAACUAGGGUUUAAGCUUCUGUCACUUGCAACCCAUCAUCUACUUAUUACUUUCCAAUGCCUUCUCCUAGGCCCAAAUAAUGGUGAAGUGUCAUGUAGUCGACGUUCACAUAACACCACUAGAGGAGAGACAACAUACAUCUCAUCGAAAUAUCGAACGAAUACCAAAUUCACAUGAUUACUUAUAACAGGACUUCUCCCAUGUCCUCACAAAGCAUAUUCAUAAUCAUAAUCAGAGUAUUAAUUAUUAUUAAGGAUAUGAAAUUAUAAUCUUCCACCGGAUAAACCAACUAGCAUCAACUAUAAGGAGUAAUCAACACUACUAGCAACCCCCAGGUACCAAUCUGAGGUUUUGGGACCAAGAUCGAAUACAAGAGAUGAACUAGGGUUUGAGAGGAGAUGGUGCCGGUGAAGAUGUUGAUGGAGAUUGACCCCCUCUCGAUGAGAGGAUCGUUGGUGAUGACAAUGGCGAUGAUUUCCCCCUCCUGGAGGCACAUCAAUUGUUUCUUAAGCCUGUGCGGUGCCCCCCUCCACCGUUUACUCCUUCGAUCAUAUUGUCGUAGUGCUUAGGCGAAGCCCUGCGCAGAUCACAUCACCAUCACCGUCACCACGCCGUCGUGCUGACGAAACUCUCCCUCGACACUUUGCUGGAUCAAGAGUUCGAGGGACGUCAUCGAGAUGAACGUGUGCAGAACUCGGAGGUGUCGUACGUUCGGUGCUUGAUCGGUUUAAUCGAGAAGACGUUCGACUACAUCAACCGCGUUAAGCUAACGCUUCCGCUUUCGGUCUACGAGGGUACGUGGACACACUCUUCCCCUCUCGUUGGUAUGCAUCUCCUAGAUAGAUCUUGCGUGAUCAUAGGAAUUUUUUUAAAAUUGCAUGCUACGUUCCCCAACAACUAGAAUCACCUUCAGUAGGGUUCUGGUACACAUGAACAACGCGUGCGCUCACAAGAUUGUGUGCGACUUAUGACUUUACUUUGCACAACUUGUAUGGUUGUGGCAAAUAUAAAAUCUAUUGAAGUUCUUCCCCGCGUGAUUUGAGCAGUAAUAGUUUGUGCUUGUAUAUAGCUAUUAACUACUCCCUCCGGUCCAUACUAAAGCAGCGACAAUUAAUAUGGAUCGGAUCGGAGGGACCAUCUUUUCCAAUGUCCAGAAUUGUAGUAUAACUUAUUUAAAGUUGAACAUUAAUGGUUUUCUUUUGUUUUGUAAGCAUCUUUUGUCAAACAUGACUACCCAUUUAAUAAUAAUAAUAAUAAUAAUAAUAAUUGUAAUAAUAUGAUUGUGUGCAUCGUAUACAGAGAUGUUGGUAGUUUUAUCCGCCUUUCCUAUGAAAGGAUGUUUGAAAAUUGUUUUCAUGCUCAGUGGCAAAAUGAUAGUACGGAAUAAUCAAACACAAUAUAAAAUAUCAAUCCUGGUACAUCAUACAAAAUUUCAUUAGAAAACUCAUACUAUAAUCUAAUACGAUAGACUACAAUUCCUUAGGAGCAUAUGUCCAUCAUCGUCUCGUCUUGGGAUGGUUGCAAUUCAAAGAUGUGAGGCGAGAGCAGAGUGGGACGGUAACCCCGAUGGAUGAUCCAUAUCCAUUCAUAUGACGGUAUCUGUUGGAGCUGCUUGUCCCACUGCAACAGUCGACCGUGGUCAGGAACGGACGACCUCGUGUCAUACUUGUACAGGGUGUCGUUGCACGUGUAGAAGAGCGUCUCAUGUUGAAACCAUGCACUCCAUGGCAUGCGGAUCCAUGGUCUUUGGAUGGGGAUGGGAGGUUCUACUUGCACGAGGAAGCUGUAGGAGUAAAUUGCACAAAACCACCACUUUGAAGGCUUGGUUUGCAUAAAACACUACGUUACAUUCUUUUGGCAGAAAACACCACCUCUACGGUAAUCUUUUUGCAAAAACACUGAUCGGUGGAUUGGAGUGUUUUAAGUAUGUUUAUAACAGGUGGGUCCAGAUUUUGUCGACGUGGCGUAAUGGCUCUGCCAAAACGGCGUCAAACCGGACAUGGCCCCACCUGUCAGCUGGAUCUUCUUCUCCAAUUCUCCUCUGUUUCUCUCACUGAAAAAGGCAACUCCCUGUCUCGAUCCCCUUUCCCAUGGUGGAACCCAGGCGUGCAGCCACCCAAGCCGAUCCCGACCGCCGUCACACAGCCAGACUGCGUGGCCGACGAGCCCAGUGGCCCCUCCAGUUUCUCUCCCCUCCCUCUACUCCUACCGGUCGCCUGGAUUGACCUUGUGUCGCAGUCGCGCAACGAACAAGCGGCAUGGACGCCGCCGAGCUUCUCUGCCCUCCCUCUACGCAACGAACGAGUGCCAUGGACGCCGUCGCUUCGCCGGCGAGCCCAGACUGCCCUCUGACUGCUCUCCCCUCCCUCUAAUCGUCCUGCUCACCCGGAUGGGCCCAGAGUCGCAGCCGCCUGAAACGAGCGCCAAGGAAGUCGCCGCCUCGCCAGAGCGGCUACGCCGCCCGCGACGACCAUCUCUGCCCACAAAAAAGAGCUCGUCGCCGUCCAUGCUGCCCUCGACCUGGGACGCCGUCACCUCGCCGGCUUGGCCACACCACCCGCGACGACCGACGACCAUCUCUGUCCGUGAAGAAGAGCUCCACGGCUGCGGCGGCCACGCCGCCCACGACGACCAACUCUGCCCUCCGAGCAGAGCUCUUCGUUUAGGCCUCGUCGCCGGCGCGGCCACGCCGCCCGCAAAGAAGAGCUCGUUCAUGGAGCUGAUUGCUUUUCUGAUUUUGAUGUAAGGGCCUCCUUGUAAAAUCCCUCAUCUAACGCUGUUUUGGCAGAGCCGUUACGCCACGUCGGCAAAAUCUGGACCCACUUAUCAUAAACGUACUUAAAACGUUCUAAUCCGCCGAUCAGUGGUUUUUGCAAAAAGAUUACCGUAGAGGUGAUGUUUUCUGCCAAAAAAAUGUAGCGUAGUGUUUUCUGCAAACUUAGUCUUCAAAGUGAUGGUUUUGUGCAAUUUACUCAAGCUUAGCGCAACUCCCAGUGUGGCUCCUUCUCGCCGUCCGAUUCCUUGUUCUCCAUGGCCAUGACCCAGAAGUGGAGGGCCUUGGGGCGAUUGCAGCUGUUGAGCACGUGUGCGGCGAGGCACAGCCGCCCCUUCAGCUCAAAGGCCAGCAGAUUAUCAUAUCGAUAGGUCCCGAGACCGUCCGGGAGAGGGUAGGCGCGGCACGUCUCGGCAGGCACGUCCACUACCAGCACUCCGGCAGCCUCCUGCCAUAUGGGUGCAUUCCAGCCUUUAGUGACCACGUGAAGUUUACCAUCGAUCAGCACUGGCGUCGAAGUGUCAUUUCCUCUGGUUAGUGGGCGAGAGGGUGAGAGGAACGGGUCUCUGCGCCACCCGCGGGCGUCACCCAAGGUGUAGACGUCCACGUCCACCCGCUCUUCGGAGGAGUAGGAGCAUAGCGGGAAAGAGAGGCGGAAGAGCUUGUACUCGUUGGUGGGCGGACUGAACCCAAAGGCAAAUAAAUACGCAUGGUCCUUGUUGCUGAGCGGAGGGGCCGCCGGAAGCGCCAGCGUCUCGCCAGUGGCGGGGUUGCACACCACCGCCGGCGCCUCGACGGCGCGGUCCUCAAGCACGAAGCAGAGGAGGCCGUUGCAGAUGUCGGCGAGGCCGUAGCCUUCGGGCUUGGCGAUGCAGCACAUGGGUUUGUCCGACGAUAACCUGAAGACACUGGUCUUGACGCUCUGGCCGAGCCCGCAUGGCACACCGGAUAAGCGCAAGAACUCGGGCUCUGCCGAAAGCGCGGCAGGGCUGGCCGCGUGGAGCUUGCGGAAUGUGGGGUCUCCGAGGGCGCUGCGCCAGUGCCUGGAGACGCAGCAGGAGCGGGCCACGUCCUUGGUCGGCAGCUUCAUCAGGAUUUCUUGUAGCAUCUCGUUAGGGAUUUCCUCAGCCUCACUGCGACGACGACGUCCCAUUGUGCCAUAGACAUCGACGUCCCAAGGCAAAGAGAUGCGCAUCCUACUCGAUCUGCCGGCAACUCGCUCGAAAUCGACCGAUUGUGGGUUGGGACCGUCGACUUGGUAUUUAUAGAGGGCACCACCCAACGAGUUGCCGAGUUUGAGUCGAAGCAGGUCAUUGUGUUUGUAUUAGGAUCCAUCCAUAUACCCGAGCCUAAACAUGCACGACUCCGUCACUGCCUGCGCGAGCUCCGUCGUCAAAAAUGCAUGCAACCGAUUGGGUGCUCCGUUCAGGAAGCACAGACCAAGCUUCCUUUCCUUACUAACCACGAAACGGAAACGAUGAAUGAAUCGCCAAAAAUGCUACACCUACCUAACUCUUUUACGUACGCUACGGAAUCUUCGAUCGCCAGAUGUAGCAUUGCUCAUGAAUCGCCAGAUCGUCAUCCGUUCCUCUCCUCUCUGCUGCCCCUCUCUCCGGACGUCCAGUCAUAAUACAAAUAUUUUCUUCUUCUUCUUUUGAGCAUCACGUACGCACGCAAAGAAAUACUGCUAGCUGCUAGCUAGUGCAAGUACGCACGACUUUUUCUUCUUCUUUUGAGCAUCACGUACACUGCUAGCCAGCCUGCUUCAGACGCACAUGCAAUGCAUGCAUGCGUGGGUGACUACCAAUUGGCUACACACGCAAGUACGUACCUGCGUGCAUGCGGCGAUGCACGUAAACUUACGUGAGGUUUUUACGUAAAGGUUAAUGUGGAGGUAGUUAAUUGGAUGAAGAUUAAUGACUGGGGCUCACCCCACUUGAAAUCAGAGGGGGAGAGGAUUAUAGUUAGAAAGAUUACAUUACUUUACGUAGGCUGUUCGUAGAUGGAGCAUUAUCGGCGUGCAUGCACUCCAUUUUGUUAGCUACAUCUAACAUGCAUGCUUGCCCAAGUGAUCAAUGGUCUCUCUCUCUGUGGCACGAACCGGGGAGGAAGAAGGAGGAAGACACGAUGAACAGGGAGCUUUUCCAGCGCACGAACGCCCGCCACAACCACGGCGUUUCCUUGAGCACGAACUCAACACCUUCGCCAUUACAACGAUCGAUGCCGCGAUCUGGGCCAUGACCCCCACGCCUCUACCCACUGCUGCGCCUGGUUCGGCCCGCUCCGCGCGCGCACUCACCGCGCCGAGCCCGCAACGAACCAACGCGAUCACCGCGUCCCGAUCGCCAACGGCUUCGCCCCACACACACGCGCGCGGUGUACACAUGCACGGACACGUCCGCGCACCACACGUACGCACACACGCACACCUACGCCGCGGACCCGACCUGCCCGACACGCCUAGCGUGCGCCCAUACACGCGCUCGACACGUCCGACUCGUCGCCACGGCUUAUUAUGCCCAACACCCCGCACCCCAUGGGCCAUGUCGAGUCCCACAGAUCCACCAGGUCCCCGCGCUCCCACUCGUGCGACGCCUCUCGAUGGGGCACGCCGUCCUCGAGCCCAGAUCCGCUUUCUUUCAGCGGUCCUUCUCUGGUGCCGGACUUGCAGCUGCAUCGACCGGCGUCAACGACUUAUCUAGGCAAUCCGCAGUGUAUCCUGCUGCGGGGUGAGUGCUCCCACGCAACACCACCACUCCCCCAGCGGCACAAGCAGCGGCUCCACUCUUCGGGCAACAUAGACUAAAAUCCAUCGUAGUUAGGCCCUUCCCCGCGCCCUACCCCCUUCCUCCUUGUGAUGAGGACGGAUGGACGGCGGUCGAGUCCCGGAAGGCGCGCAAUGUAGAAAAGAAGAUAACGGUCCGUAACACAUGCCAGCGGCCGCGCCGGUCGGCCAAGGGCGCUGCCAUUAAUGGCCAUGACGAGCGCGCGGCCUUCUUAAGCCGCUUCGACGGCAUCUGCUUUCGCUGCCUGCACCGAGCACCGCCGGAUAGAUUGCAGAGACCCACUUAGAUGCAUCAUUUGCAAGCUGCCAGGACACUAUGGUAGAGAGUAAUGACCCACAAGUAUAGGGGAUCUAUCAUAGUCCUUUCGAUAAGUAAGAGUGUCGAACCCAACGAGGAGCAGAAGGAAAUGAUAAGUGGUUUUCAGCAAGGUAUUCUCUGCAAACACUGAAAUUAUCGGUAACCGAUAGUUUUGUCAUAAGAUAUUUCGUAACGGGUAACAAGUAAAUGAUGUAACUAAAGUGCAGCAAGGUGGCCCAAUCCUUUUUGUAGCAAAGGACAAGAUUGGACAAACUCUUAUAUAAUGCAAAGCACUCCCGAGGACACAUGUGAAUUGUUGUCAAGCUAGUUUUCAUCAUGCUCAUAUGAUUCACGUUCGUUACUUUGAUAAUUUGAUAUGUGGGUGGGCUGGUGCUUGGGCGUUGCCCUUCCUUGGACAAGCCUCCCACUUAUGAUUAACCCUUCUCGCAAGCAUCCGCAACUACGAAAGAAGAAUUAAGGUAAACCUAGCCAUAGCAUGAAACAUAUCGAUCCAAAUCAGCCCCUUACGAAGCAACGCAUAAACUAGGGUUUAAACUUCUGUCACUCUAGCAACCCAUCAUUUACUUAUUACUACUUCCCAAUGCCUUCCCCCAGGCCCAAAUAAUAGUGAAGUGUCAUGUAGUCAACGUUCACAUAACACCACUAGAGGAGAGAGAACAUACAUCUCAUCAAAAUAAUGAACGAAUACCAAAUUCACAUGAUUACUUAUAACAAGACUUCUCCCAUGUCCUCAGGAACAAACGUAACUACUCACAAAGCAUAUUUAUAAUCAUAACCAGAGGAGUAUUAUUUAUCAUUAAGGAUCUGAAAUUAUAAUCUUCCACCGGAUAAACCAACUAGCAUCAACUACAAGGAGUAAUCAACACUACUAGCAACCCCCAGGUACCAAUAUGAGGUUUUGGGACCAAGAUCGAAUACAAGAGACGGGCUAGGGUUUGAGAGUAGAUGGUACUGGUGAAGAUGUUGAUGGAGAUUGACCCCCUCUCGAUGAGAGGAUCGUUGGUGAUGACGAUGGCGACGAUUUCCCCCUCCCGGAGGGAUGUUUCCCUGGCAGAACAGCUCCGUCGGAGCCCUAAAUUGGUUCUGCCCAGGUUCCGCCUCGAGACGGUGGCGCUUCGUCCCGAAAGCUUCCUUCUGAUUUUUUCCAGGUCAAAACACACCAUAUAGCCAAAGAUGGGCGCCGGGGGCCUGCCAGGGGGCCCACAAGGUCGGGGGGCGCGCCCAGGGGGGUAGGGCGCGCCCUCCACCCUUGUGGCUGGCUGGUGGCCCCCCUCUGGUUCUUUCUUCGCACAAUAUUCUUUAUAUAUUCCAAAAACAUGCUCCGUGAAGUUUCAGGACUUUUAGAGUUGCACAGAAUAGGUCUCUAAUAUUUGCUCAUUUUCCAGUCCAGAAUUCUAGCUGCCGGCAUUCUCCCUCUUCAUGUAAACCUUAUAAAAUAAGAGAGAAAAGGCAUAAGUAUUGUGAUAUAAUGUAUAAUUAACAACCCAUAAUGCAAUAAAUAUCAAUAUAAGUGCAUGAUGCAAAAUGGACGUAUCAGAGAGUGCCCUCAAAAUCCAAAGAAGAUAGCAAGAUGGAACAGCGGCAAGGAGAGGCCAUGGUCACCGCGCAACCCGGGGGGGGGGUGCGGACGAGGCUCCGCUUCCCCACCCCACCGCCGCCACCAGUGGCUCCUGCUCCGGCCAUGGACCGCGCAGCGACCACGUUGACCCAUCUCGCCGGGCAAGGGCAAGCCACAAGGUGGUGUUCUCCACCCCCGACCAUGGAGCACCAAGAGUUCCUGCUCCGCAAGCACGUCGUUCUCCUUACGGCGGCGGUGCCGAGGCACGCGGCCAACCCGAUGUCCAUCGGACGCGCCAUCGAAGAGUUCCUUGGAUCAACAAGACUGCGCUAGAAAAGAAGAAAACCUCCACAAACUAUCAUUGUGAAGAAAUAAGAAUAUUACCUACCUUGUAGGGGAAACAACACACCACACGAGCCUAACAAAGAUUCAAUUCGCAAAAACCCACUUUAACUCGCUCAUCGGUGGAAAAGUAUACACUACUAGCUGCUAGGACUUAUUUAAUGAAAGAGGUUGCAGCCAUCUCAACUCCCUCCCCUAGACACCAAAAUCUAGCGAUAUACACCAUCCAAACCAGAUCAAAACUCCCACACAUUGUCCAGGACGGCAUGAAGAAUGAGGUAGAACAUCGACCCGGCCGGCGGUAAUGAUGGAACCAAAACCCUAACCUUCACAUGAUUGCCUCACAACAACACUCUCAGCCUGUUCAAUUUGUUUCCAUGGUAUUUGUUGUUUUUCUACUAUAUACCUAAAGAAGGAAUGGCAUUCAUUUUCNNNNNNNNNNNNNNNNNNNNNNNNNNNNNNNNNNNNNNNNNNNNNNNNNNNNNNNNNNNNNNNNNNNNNNNNNNNNNNNNNNNNNNNNNNNNNNNNNNNNNNNNNNNNNNNNNNNNNNNNNNNNNNNNNNNNNNNNNNNNNNNNNNNNNNNNNNNNNNNNNNNNNNNNNNNNNNNNNNNNNNNNNNNNNNNNNNNNNNNNNNNNNNNNNNNNNNNNNNNNNNNNNNNNNNNNNNNNNNNNNNNNNNNNNNNNNNNNNNNNNNNNNNNNNNNNNNNNNNNNNNNNNNNNNNNNNNNNNNNNNNNNNNNNNNNNGUUUUGAUUCAUUUCCUCAUAUCUCUAAAAAAAUCAUCCUUUUUCUUUUGAAAAUCGUCUUAACCAUCCCACCUUUCAUUGGUGGCAGGUGGCUGCGGCGGCCUCAUACCCGGCAGGCGUCCUGGUUGAGGAGUGCGCCGGACUGGUAGGUGCCCCAUACCCGGCAGGCGUCCUGGUUGGGACCUCAGGUCUUAGAUGUUUAGGUUUGGCUGCGAUGUCUGUUUGGUAUUAGGCCCAGACUAUCUACGCCCCUUCAUCAAUUGGAUAGGUGUAGCAACAGUUGUUGCUUAGAUGGUGGCUUUAGUCUUGCUAUUGUUUGGCUUUGUAAGGUCUUGUGAGAAUAAUUAAUAAAGUGGCCGUAUGCAUCGCCCAGAUGCAGAGGCCGGGGGUCAUCCUCUUUUUCUAAAAAAAAAUCCCACCUUUCAUUGACUUAUCAAAUAAAAUUAUGUUCUAUGUGGUAAACCAAUAUGUUCUUACAAAACAAGCGAUUUUUACUUAGGUAGUUAAAUCACGGGCAUAAUUUUAUAAACAUUUAUUACAAGUAAUUAUCUAGUCUAACAAAAAUGGGAGCAACUAAUUAAGGCGUACUCUUGGAGGGCUCCCGUAAAGGUCACUUUCUUGGUCCUCGUGCUGAACGCACCAUCGGGAAUUCAAAUUUUUUUUCUACAUGUGUUUUCAGGUUUUAUGUGAGUUUACUGUGUGUGGGGGUUCACUUCUUUGUUUUUGCUUGGCUUUCCUGUAGUCUUGAACUGUGCUUCCCGAAAUCCAACGGUGAAAACAAUUUUUUGGGGAACCAGUUUUUCAUUUUUCAUUUUUUUUCUAGUUUACUUUUUUCGGUUCUCGUUUUUACCCGGGGAGGGGGGUGUUAUGAUUUUUUUCAUCGAAAACUAACGUGAGAUCUGGUUGAUCUCGACGCGAGAAAUCCAACGGUGAAAACGAUUUGUGAUUAUGAUUUUUUUAUCGAAAACUAUGAACGUGAGAUCUAGUUGAUCUCGACGCGAGAAAUUCAAUGAUGAAAACGGUUUGUGAUUUGGAUGCCUCGACAGAGAAGCAUGAUGAACAACCUUACUCAAACCAGCCCAUUAAGGCACCAAAUUUCACAACUUAGAAAUGAUGCUCGGCUUAUGUUGGGCCGUCUCAUGAGAGUUUUUGUUUUUUUCGUAGAUUCAUUUGUUUUUCAAAACGAUUUAUCUUGAAUCAUGUGUUCAAAUACCGAACCAUUUUCACUGUUGGAUUUCGCGUGUCGAGAUCUUUAAAACUAAAUCUCAUGUUAAUUAGUUUUGAUAAACUUUUUUUUCAUGAAAAAGCCUGAAGAAAAAACCCAGAGCUAGAAGCAUGAUUUUUUCCUACUUUUAUUCCCUUUGAGAGAAGCACAUAUCAGUGCCUCCACGAGAUGCAAAUCUGUGCUUCUCAUGGGAGCACAAAAAACAUGCAAAAACAUGAUUUUUUUUUCUUUCUAAAGUAGCGCGGAAGCAAAUCUGUACCUUUACGAGAAGCAAAUAUGUGUUUCUCGUGAAAGCCAUUUCCCCCGGAAAUAAAUCUGUGGCUCCACAAGAGGCAAAUAUGUGCUUCUCGUGAUAAUACCCUUUUCGAUAAGCAUAAUUGUGCUUCUCACGGAAGCAAAAUCUGUGCUUCUCGUCGAAGAAAAAAAAUACACAAAAAAAUUCAUGAUUUUUUCCCUUUCUGACAAGCACAACUGUGGUUCUUGCGGAAGCAAAUCUGUGUCUCCACGAAAAGCAAAUAUAUGCUUCUCAUGAAAGCACAUUUUUUCGCGCAAAAAUAAAUUUUCGUGUAUUUUUUUCUUCAAAAUCUAAGAUAAACCAGACGUAAAUCGAAAAACCAAAACAUCCAGAAUAAAGCCCAUAUAAAAUCUGAAAACGUGUACAGAAAAAUAAAACCAACGCCCAGCAAAAGAGGCCCUUGGCGCUCUCAGCCCACAAAAAUUACACGCAAUGGUACCUUUAGCCCCUUUUGCUCUCUUGAUUUUGCUCUUGGAAGGAUUCCUGCCUUUUCCACUUCGGCAGAUUCCGCCUUCAAAUCUCCGCACAUCUCACUUGCAAGGUCCACGAGAUUCUGCCCGCCUCCUCCAUCAGAUCCCUCUCCGCACCGGAUUCCUGCGUCUCCUCGUCCGGGCCUUCUUUCAGUUCCGUGGUUCCUCUUGCUUUCUGCGGUAACUUCUACUGCCGAAUCUUGCUUGACUGUACCAACCAGCUUGCUUGAAUCAUCAAUCAGUUCGCUAGUUAUAUGAUUGCUGGUGUUUCCUUGAAUAGCAAGUUAAAUUAGCGUACUAGUAGUAGAUAUGGUUCUCUAUUUAUUUUUUUCAUUUCUUCUUUUCCCCCUUCAGCCCGCCAGUACAACCAAGAAAUGUGAGCCGUGAAUCACUAAACUAGAGCCACUUUUAUUUUAAUUUAUGUAGUUAUGUACGUUUUAUAUUGUAUGAAAUUCAUUCUGAUGGGAUGAUCUACAUACUGCAAUAUAUUGAAGCACUGAACUGGUGUGUAUCAGUAUCAGUGUAUGACUGAACAGGACAAGGUACAUGAUUCAUGUUGUUGAUACUUGUUAGGCCUGAUGGGAAGCAGAGAUGACGAUGGCCAAAAUGCAGAAGGUCAGGGUUACGCCGCGGACAUCAAUUCCAUCAGGGAGGCGCAGGCACGCAUCGCGCCAUACGUGCACAAGACACCCAUCCUGUCAUCAACUUCUAUCAAUGCCAUAGCAGGGAAGCAGUUGUUCUUCAAGUGUGAAUGCUUCCAGAAGGCGUGAGAGUUACUGCCUCGUGUGCCAUUUACCUAUUCGAUGCUUUGCAGUACAUGGUGCUAAUUGUUGUGGACAUAUGUUGUAUUGUGUUGUGUAGAGGGGCGUUCAAGAUCCGAGGGGCAUCCAAUUCAAUAUUUGCCCUUGAUGACAUUCAGGCAGCAAAGGGCGUUGUGACGCAUAGCAGGUUGGUGCUAGCUUCAGUGUAUUGUGUGCUUGUUCCCAACAUUCAGAAGAAAAUUAAGAUACUGAUGAUAUGGUUUCUUCUCAGUGGAAAUCAUGCUGCUGCUGUGGCACUGGCUGCAAAGUUGCGUGGCAUACCUGCUUACAUUGUCAUACCCGAAAACGCGCCAGCAUGUAAGGUUGAGAAUGUUAACCGUUAUGGUGGUCAGGUUAUCUGGAGCGAUGUCACCAUGGAAUCAAGAGAAUCUACAGCUAAAAAGGUCCAGGAAGAGACUGGUGCUAUUCUUAUUCAUCCAUUCAAUGAUAAGUACACCAUCAGGUAGUCUUUUGCCAUCCAAAGCUUUUAUUGUUGAAUUGUUCUGUAUAAUGUGACAAAUAUCCCCAUUACCCCAGAAUUAGAAAUGCUUCCUAUAGAGUGCUGACAGUUUCCCUAAGCUAGAUGAUAAUUUUUUCAAAGGUACCAUAGACAUCGCUUCUAGUAACAAUUUGUAUUUCGGUACUCCUGAAGUAGCCUGGUGACUAGGCUACUGUUUAGAUGCGAAAAAAUAGCUGGAAUUUCAAAUUAAAAGUAUGUAGAAAUUUGAUCACUUGCUUACUCAGCAUUGAUGAACUGUUCUUCCAGUGAAAUGAUCACCAAGAGUAAAUGGAAUUACUUGAUACUAGCCCUGGCAACACCAUCUAAAAUUUAGGAUUUCAUGAAUUUAACUCGUUUUCCGACAACAGAACCUUCGGAAUGUUUUAUUGUUUUCUGUAGGACCAUUUUGGACUACAGGAAUACAACCCAUUAUUUCCACACAAAAAACUUGAUAUGUUUUAUGCACCAUAUAUAGUCAAAAUCUCCUAGUUUCUUCUGCACUCUGUGUUUGCUCUUAGUGCAUAGAGUAACUUGAGUUUUCAUUCCCUUUGAAUUUUCCCGUGAAAUAUAGGAAUUUAUUUGAAUGUUUUUCAGUGGUCAGGGUACAGUAUGCCUUGAACUUUUGGAGCAAGUCCCUGAGAUCGACACAAUAAUUGUUCCAAUUAGUGGUCUGCACUCUCUCAACUUCUCCCUAUCGUAAAUAGUUUUUUUUUCUGCGAGUAAGUCUUUUCUAAUUUGACACUGACAUAUAUUUUGGCUAAACUACAGGUGGUGGUUUAAUUUCGGGUGUGGCAUUGGCUGCAAAGGCCAUCAACCCUUCAAUACGUGUUCUGGCAGCAGAGCCGAAGGGUGCUGAUGAUUCAGCCCAGUCCAAGGCUGCUGGAAGGAUCAUCAAACUGCCUGCAACCAACACCAUUGCUGAUGGACUACGAGCGUUUCUCGGUGACUUGACAUGGUGAGGCAAAUAUACAUUGAUUAUGUUUCCAUCAUUUUCUGCACGUGCAUUACUAACCUGGAAUCAUACUAAAACGCUGACCUUUAGUUUUUGGAUUUUUCAUGAGAAUGUCAAUGCUAGCUAGAUAGUUUAUUUUGCCAAAAUUUAUCUUGAUGUGAACGCCCUGGAAUGAUCUGUGAUGUUAAUGCUACUUAUUCCGUUGUGAUAAAAAUGGUUGCUAGUGGACAGAAGAAUGCUACAUGUUUUUAAAUUUAAUCUUUAUGUUCUAGGCCGGUGGUGCGUGACUUGGUGGACGAUGUCAUCGUCGUGGAUGACAACGCCAUUGUCGACGCCAUGAAGAUGUGCUAUGAGACGCUGAAGGUGGCUGUGGAGCCUAGCGGAGCCAUUGGCCUUGCCGCUGCCCUCUCUGACGAGUUCAAGGAAAGCUCCGUUUGGCAUGAGAGCAGCAAGAUAGGGAUCAUUGUUUCCGGUGGCAAUGUGGACCUCCGCGUGCUCUGGGAAUCCCUGUGUAAAUGAGAUUGGGGCUGUGCAGAACUGUUUGAAUUUGAAAUGCACGAGGUGAAUGGCUGCAGACUUGAAAAGACACUGAUUUCUUACACGGAACAGUCUAUGUUUGCUGAUCUACUCGCUGCAAAACGUUUUGCCAUUGACUUCUUUUUUGGACCAUUUGCCAUUGACUUCCUACAGCGCCUUAGUCUGGAAGCGGCAUAUCUCCUGAUUUUAUAUAGACAAUAAUAACUGCUGCCUUUGUCUUUUUCGUUCCUAUUUCUCUUUCACCCACUGACAAGCAUGACCCACAUGUCAUAGGCGCGAGACAGAUUUUUUUUUUUGAUUUGUCAUUUUUUCUCUACGCUGAUAAGUGGGACCCACAUGCGACAUGUAGGCAAAUUAGACGGCUACACACGGGAAUAUGCGCUGCCUAAGCAGAGUUUGAUGGCGAAAAUUGUACCAUGUUGCACUUAAAAAAAGAGCAUCAACCGGGCGGCUCAAACCCUCCUUAAACGGCGGACGGACAAGACGGUCACUGACCGGUCAAAAAUAGCCGACUCAGACGAGCACCUCAAGCGCCCGAGCUCACCAACACCCCUCAUAUCCAGCCCAAAUCUGAGACGGAUAUGGGGAGGCCCGGACGCAACCGGGCGUGUCCGUCAUGUCGGAUCCGGCCCAUGCUGGCCCACCUAACACCCAAUAUAUUCGUCAUCAUCCGCUUGCCGAACUAAACCCUAGCCAGUCCACUCCACGCCACCCAGUCCCGAAGCUCCCGUCCGGCGAUCUCCGGCAUGACGGGCAGCGGAACUGACUUCGACAACCCCAGGCCCAUUGAUUGUGGUGUCAUCCAUGCGUGGUGGAGGAGGCUAUGGUCGUUCGUAUUGCCCUCCGCCGCUCCCGAAGGACUACGCCCGGCUCGAUGACGGGAUUUGUCCAGUAGGAGGGUUCUGCUCCGUUUUUAGCUAUGGUUUUUGAGGUCGACUAGGGUAUGUGUCCUUCUGAGGAAGGCGAUGUGGCGAUGGCUCCUUGAAGAUGAAAUAAGAUCCUUCCCGCCAAGCCCAUCCCAGCGGCGCGUCUACCAUCGUCGGAGGGCGCGUGGAGGUGUGUUUGUUGCGAAUCUCAUGGGAUUUGGUUGGUGUUGGUCGUUAAUGGAACUUGGUGGAUCCAGUCUUCGUUCGUAUGUCUACAGUUUGUAUCCUUUCAAUCUACACUUCUUUUCAUUGGCACGGUUGCUGUUUUGAUGCGUUGGUUCUAUGGGGCCUUAGUAGACGACUUCCCGACUGUGUACUACGACAAGUUUUGGUUGGCUCCGGUGAGAGAGGGGCAAUUAUGAUGGCGCAUCUUCAACUCGGUCCAGUGUUUAUAGUUGUUGAUAGAUGGUCUAUGAACUUGGAUGCAUUUUUUUCAUGUUCCUUGUACUGCCGUGACAGUUAUAAUACUUCCGUUCACAAAUAUAAGAUGUUCUAACUCUUUUUGUAUCGGAUGUAUACAUACGCGUUUUAGUGGGUUUGUUCACUCAUUUCAGUCCAUAUAUAGUUCAUAUUGUUGUUUCUCUUUUCAGUGGCUGGAAACAGUAAUUGCACAAAAAAAAAGGAAACAGUAAUUCUGGUCCAGCGGUGCAUCAGAAAUUCAGAUUUCAGAACCCAUCUCCGCGUGAACACGAAUCUUGAAGCACUCGGAACAAACCCCUUGCCACCCGAGGCAGUCGUCCGUUCUCCGUCCCACGUCCCUCUUCCUCCUUCCCCCCGCCGCCGCCGCCGCCGCAAAGAGAAGCGCGAGAGAGUGGGGCGGCCGUAGCAAGCGAUGCCGAACAAGCGUCAGCGGGAGGCGCGGAAGCGCUUCCGCGAGGCGAACCCCGGCCUCUGUCCGCCCGCGCCCGCCCCUCCGGCCGACGGCACCAAGAAGAAGAAGAGCAAGAAGAGCUUGUUCAAGAAGGUGAAGAAGGCGGGAGCCGGCGGCGGAGUAGGAGGAGCGGGGAGGUCGAAGCACCCGCUGCGGGUUCCCGGGAUGCGGCCCGGGGAGCAGUGCUUCAUCUGCAAGGGCACCGACCACGCGGCCAAGAACUGCCCCGAGAAGUCCUAUUGGGACAAGAACAAGGUACCAGCCCACCAUUGCACGGCUAAAAUUGCUCUGCGUAGAAGCUUGUGGUGAUAAUGUUGUUCGGCAUGCUGUCAAUUGCUACUUGCUGUAGAUUCCAUGGACCCAAUAGCAUUGGAUGAUGUAGCUCCUGUGGAAUGGGUUUAUAGCAGAUUAGUGCUAGUUGGUGGUUGUAGUGGAAAUACAGCGACAAAAGUGAUGUUGAUUUUCCUUUAGCCUGCCUUUGCUUGGUGAGAUUGUCACUAGGCGGGCUAGGAAUGCGCUUGUUUUGUGUUAGCUAGUAUUUAUGACUACCAUAGAAACUCACAAGUCACAACAUACAACAUCACAACACUUAACCUGAGAACAAACGUUCAUCACUGAUUAUAUGAAGAGCUAGCAGUUACUUGCAGUCAUAUGAAUGCUUGUUAUUACAGAAAAAUGUUUGAUAUUGCUAAAUUAUGUUUCAUCAUGAACUCAUGAUCCAUUACAAUAGUUGGUUUAAUGUCUGAUUUCACCAUAUGCAAGGUUUCCAUUUCACUAUCUCUUAACAAUUGUAUUAUUUUUCUGUUAUUUUCAGAUUUGCUUGCUCUGCAGGGAGCGAGGGCAUAGUAUGAAGAACUGCCCUGACAAAGGUGAUGGGGAUCUGAAGAAAUUCUGCUAUAACUGUGGUGAAUCUGGGCAUUCCCUUUCCAAGUGCCCGAAGCCCAUUGAAAAUGGUACUCUUCAUCCAUUCAUGUUAUGCUUAGAUUCCUAUAGAUGUGAUUUCUUCAUGUGCUUAACAUUAUUCGAUACGUAUGCAGGCGGCACAAACUUUGCGAGCUGCUUUGUCUGCAAACAGCAGGGACAUUUGAGCAAGGAUUGCCCUGAAAAUACACACGGCAUUUAUCCCAAGGUAUUCCACAGGAUUCCUUGUUCCCUCUCAUGAAUCACGACACAACUACUACUACCGAUAUAAGGCAUUGAAAUCGAAGGACUAUUUUCAUUUUUUAUUUAGACUUUCUUGCAGACAAACAUGUCAUGCUGGCAAAAAAUGAUUUUGGCUUGCCGUAGUUACCUACUUACUAGUUAUGAUGUUUGAAUUGCUUGUGUCUUGAGGAACCCAAAGAAUAUCCACUGUUUUUUUUCCUUUGGGAUAGUGAGGCAUCGUGCAAACAAAUGGAUAUAUGAUCUUUGAGUGGUAUAACCACCACUUGAUAAACUAUAAGUAUCUGUUUCAAGGGGUUUUACGUUUUUUCUGUAUGAGUCCUGAGGUACAGAACCAGUUUGCUGGUGGAGCCAGCCUUGUUUAUAGCUUUGACUUUCUGUUGUUACUUUUGUUGUUGUUAACACUCCUCUACCUUGAUUACGUUUAGUUGAUUCAAUCUCUGCUUUUUUGUACAUGGAUUUUAACUCUAUGUAUUAAUGUUAGGGUGGUUGCUGUAAGAUAUGUGGUGAAGUUACACACUUGGCAAGGCAUUGCCCGAACAAACGGCAACAGUACUUCGAAUCCUCGGUGGAUGAUGGUAAACAAAUUGGAACUUCUUCCUUGACAAACCAACCUUUGCAAUAUCACAACUACCAUGCAUGCAUUCGCAACAUUUUGAACGUCCGCUGGAAUGCGAAGUGUGUUGCAGUUGGUCUAUAUAUAUUUGAAUUACCUGUUGCCAUCAUUUAAAGUUUCACACCAAAAAAAAACAUCUGGACAAUAAUUCUUGUAUAUAAGCAUGCUGGCUAAACUUAUGAUUUCAGGUUAUACAACUAUUUUGUUUCUGAAGAUUUGUUUGUGUUGUUGUAUAACAUAGUUGGCUGUGCCAACAAUAGAGAUAUAUCUGUAGGCCGCGGUGUUGUAUUGUGGUGCAGAGGCUUUGGAUAGGUGAACAUGUUCCCUUUUCAGUCCUUAGUAAGGGUUGAGUAAUGACUAACUGUACGGGCGCGGUACCUUACUCUUGACAAAAUCUAAUGUAUUUAUAUAUGUUGAGAACUUGAGAUUGUUAGUUAGCUGGUGCAACUGAAUUUCUGCUGGUAGUUGUGCAGUUCAUCACAGGAAUUCGUGUUUACUUGUUUAUUUGUCGCUGUGUUUACUUUAGGUAUGAAUAUGGAGGGAGACUACCAGGAAGACCAUACUCUGCAUGGUGGAGACGAUCUUGAAGAUGAUUUCAUUGAUGAAGAAGAGGUGAAAACCACCAAAACAAUUAAAGCAAAGCAACCUAGCAGCGGCGAGAAGAGUACCAGCUCAAAGUCAAAAGGAAAACAAGCUCCAAAAGUUGUAAAAUUCUUUGGUUAAACAAUGCCGCCAUUUUUGUAGUGUACGUCGAGAAUGAUCAUCUUCCUGGACAAUUCUUUUUGGAGGAAUCCCAGCUGUGUAACUUACAAUGCAAUGAGAAUGUAUCUGUCUACACUCCGAUGUUGGAAAGAUGUCAUAUAAUUUGAAAUCUCCGGUUGUUCAUCAGUCCUCACUACGUUAUGGUUACACAGAAUUUGUUAUAUGACUUAUGGCCUCAUGGGGUUCUACGAGCGGGCGAUGUGCCUGUGUGUGGCUGCAUUGUUGGUUUGUCAUCGAUUCGUCCAAAUCGCAGUUGGUGCAGCAAGCCCCGAGCAAAAAAUAAAAUAAAAUAAAAAUGCUGCUGUGCUGUCGUGGCCAGGGAUGGAGCUUGGUUACAGGCCAGAGCGAUGGAUGGGUGGUGUGGAGCGCCUCUGGAUCUCCCAUGGCUCUCGCGAACGGACGCGCCAAGGAGGGGACGUGCUUGGUCAACCGCCCCUCUUCUUCCUCCUCCUAAAACGGCGGCAUGCAUGGCACCAUGCAUGCGAUGCGAGCCUCAGGCUCCCCUAUAUUUCGCCCGGCGCCUCCUCUCCUCCGGGCCUUGAGAAUCUCGCCCGCCGCCUGACGCCACCGUCGUCGCGUCCGGCGCUCCGUCCGUGGAAAGAAGAGAAAACCCAUCGUCAGCCAUGGUGAGCGCGCGCGCGAGACGCCUGCGGCGGCCCUGGAUCGACGACGAUGGUUCGAUUCGAUCCUUUUGGUUGGUUGAUUGUUGAUAAUGAGGUGCUCUUGUUGUUGGUGUUGUUUGCGUGAUUGCGAUGCAAGGCGAACUCGGCGUCGGGCAUGGCCGUGAGCGACGAGUGCAAGCUCAAGUUCCAGGAGCUCAAGGCGAAGCGGAGCUUCCGGUUCAUCACGUUCAAGAUCAACGAGCAGUCGCAGCAGGUGGUGGUGGACCGGGUGGGGCAGCCCGGCGAGACCUACGCCGACUUCACCGCCACCAUCCCCGCCGACGAGUGCCGCUACGCCGUCUUCGACUUCGACUUCGUCACCGACGAGAACUGCCAGAAGAGCAAGAUCUUCUUCAUCUCCUGGUACGUGACGUGACCCAUCCAUCCAUGCAUGCAUGGUCUCUCACACGCGAGUACGUAGCUAGUGAACGAUCUGUGCCUGUGGUGGCUGCAUGCAUGCAGGUCCCCGGACACGUCCAGGGUGAGGAGCAAGAUGCUGUACGCCAGCUCCAAGGACAGGUUCAAGAGGGAGCUGGACGGCUACCAGGUGGAGCUGCAGGCCACCGAACCCAGCGAGAUGACGUUGGACAUCGUCAAGGCCAGAGCCCUCUGAACAAAUUUCUCAUCGCAUCGCUCCUUCCAGGCUCCAAGGCCAGCAGCUGGAUCUACACCACGCCCUACGUACCUGCGCCCCCGUAUCGUAUGCCGUUUCCCCUCCGUCGUCGGUGUCGGAGCCUCCCCCUCCUUGUAAACUAGACAUAGAUGCUCUCUCUCGUUGUCUUUCCCGUUUCCAAGAUUUUAGACGGCAUGCCCAUCUUAUUUCCCCUUGUUGCUGAGGUGCGUACUACGUAAAUUUGCCCGUGCUCGUUGUGUAAGCGACUGGCUCCACACGGCCGCACGGCACUUAUCCACGAAAAGACAAACAUUCUGGUGUGUUUUGCUCCUGGUCUCCUUAUGUGCUCCUUCCAAAAGCAGCCCUGAUGCUCACACUAUCCAAAAGUUUAGACGCAUUUGUCUUCUGCUAGUGAUUCUUUUUUAAAUAUUCCAAAGUUAUGGAUGCGAGAGUGAAACGUUAUAUGAAGAAAUUAAACUAUGCAAGGGCAUCUCCAAAGCAGAUACUUAAGACAUGAAUAAUUUGCAAGUAAUUAAAUACAGCAGAUCCGGCCCCUCUCGACCGUGACCGCGUCGCCCCCGCAAGCGACCGGCCGCGCCUCCCCUCUUCCCCACGAGCGUUCCCCCAAUCUCUUCCACCUCCCUGCCGCCGUCGCCGGCGCCCGGCGCGGGCCUGGCCCGGGUGACGUUGGCGGCGGCGGCCCCCGGCCCUUUCCCAUCUAGGGUUUCUCCGGCGCGUGACGGAGCGGCUCCGGGCGGUGUCUUCAGGCGGCGACGGUCCUGCGCGGCGGCGGGGGUUCCUGUCGCGGGUGGGGGCGAGCUCUGGGCGGCGGGGCGGGUUGGCGACGCCCGCCCGACCCAGAUCUGGGCCCUUUGGGCCCCAUCUAGGCUGGGACGGGCUGGUGACAGGCGUGGCGUCGGCGUGGCCCUCAGGAGGCGGUGGUGGUGCGUCGGGCUGGUGGCGGGUGGCGGCUCGGCUGCUGGCGUGCAGCAGCGCGGUGGUCAGGGCUUUGCGGUCCCGUUAUGGGCCCGACCAGGCCUGGGUGGCCUGGUUUGCCUUGGCUGUGGCGUCCGGUUGGCAAUCCGUGUCGGUUCUGGAGGCAGAGGCCUUUGGCGUGACAGCGGUGGAGGCGGUUCCCUCCCGUUCGGCUCUGGUGCUUCCGUCCAUGCCAUCUAGGCGCAUCUUACCUCUGCUCUCUUGACCUCAAUCGUGGUGGUGUUUGCAGCAAGACGGAGUGGAUGGGUCCAAGACCGUGGUGGCGCGUGCUUGCGGGUGGCAAGAUGGUGGGUUGGCUCCGUUCUUGUGGGGGCCGGGGCAUGGGGGUGCAGGAGAAAUCCCUGCCGGUUCUUCCGGCUUCGACGUGGUGAUGCCAGUGGGUGCCGCCAUUUCUUUUUGAAGGGUGUCGGUGCUACCCAUCCCUCGCUCCCCUUCUGCGUGCCGGGGGAAACCCUAGGAACUAUCCGGAAAGCAACGUCGUUGGCGUUCCAUCCCCCCUUUGAGGUGUUGUUUGGUAUGCGGCGGUCCGGUGCCAUGGCGAGUGGUGGGACGUAGAUGGAGGGCGCAGCAGUGAUGGACCAUUCGUGCUUGUCGAGCUACCGUUGUUGGAAUUUUUGUCUUCUUCUUUUUCCUUUUGGGCUUGAUGUGCCGUUGAAAGUGCAAUCAUGCCCUUAAUCUUAUUUUGAUGUUGAUGACAACAUGCAUAUAGGGGACUAAUCAUGUUUAUCAAGUAUAUCUCAGGAUUAAGUCUCAAGGGCCGUGUGUGGAUCAUGACACGGACAAAUAUAUAUAUCACUCAAGAGCGGAGAUACAAGACAAUAGCUUUGGCUCUUUUUCGGUUCGUUCUUGAGUAUAGGGAUCCCGCACUAUUAAGAGGGGAUCGUCGGAUUUCUUGAAAGACUUGCUCAAAACCCACAAAGCAUCCUCUCACAACAUCUCUGCUUCAUCUCUAGUUCUUCCACUAACUUGUGCACAAAGUCUGUUGUGAUCAUGAGCUAGUGUCCUCUGUUUUCACCGGACGACCCAAAUUCUACGGACGUCCGACCCCUCACAGCCGAUCGGGCACCUGGCUCUCUCAGGAUGUCCGGUGCAUCCUCACAGAAAUAAAAUAGCGGAAAUCCGGUCCUCUCCGGACGACCGGUCACCGGACGUCCGUUUCUCUCCGGAAAUCCGGGACAACCUCAGCAGAACACUUAUUAAUGGAUUUCCGGUCCUCACCGGACGACCGGCACAUUCCGGACGUCCGGUGGCUGUGUGUCUUGUGCUACUUUGUGGCUUGGUGGAUUCCCAGUGACCGAACGACCGGCGGCCUGGUCGGACGUUCGGUCCAAUCUGUGCCACCGGACGUCCGGUAUUAUCUGGACGACCGACAACUCAAGUGGCUCAACGGUCAGUCUUUACACUACUACUAUAUAUAGCCCCCUCCCUCCACGGGAUAAGGUUGACCAUUCACUUUGAGCUUUCCAAGAACACAUUUCACUCCCUCUCUUGAUCCCCUACACCAAAUCCUAGACCCCCAAGGGAUUUGGGAACAUUUGAGAGAAGUUCUCCAAUCAAGUGAUAGAUCCACUCCUCCCCCAUUCUUCUCACCAAAGGAAUUCGUGAUUUGAGCAAGUUCUUGAGCUUUUCCCGUCGUUCUUGUUACUCUUGGAGGUUGGAGACUCCUAGGCGGUAGGAGUCAGUCGGUGAGGAAUCGAUCAUUGUGAUUACCCCCGGAAAGUUUGUGAGGGUUUGGAGAUCACCCCAAGGUCUACCACUAGUGGUUGAGAAACGCCUUCGUGGUGUUGUCUCAAAGGGAGAAUAGGGCGAGCCUUCGUAGCGUUGGUGUGCCUUCAUGGUAACAUCCACCUCUCUAACGGCGACGUAGCUUCCCUCCAAGGAAGUGAACAUCAGCAUACAUCCUCGUCUCUCGAAGUUGCGGUUAUUCCUAACCCUAACUCUCUAGUUAUGGUUACUUGUCUCUUAGUCCUUACUUAUAUCAUAUUGUGCUUGCUUACUCACAUAGUUGUGUUACUUGUUUACCUGCUUAGCUCUUAGCAUCAUACUUGCAAUUGUUAGGCUCACUUUCAUAUUCCGCAUUAUUGCCUAAAAUUGCUAAGUAAUAAUUAAAAUUUGUAAUUGUACCUAUAUAUUCACCCCCCUCUAGGUCCAUCUCGAUCCUUUCAAUUGGUAUCAGAGCCUCGUGCUCUAUUCUUGUGGCUUAACCGCCCUUGAGCGAGAUGAACCCGGAUGGGACUCCCCUUGUUGCGGAUCCGAAGAGUACGGACGCGGCUUCCACGGAAGUCAAGUCCUUCACUUCUGAGGAUAUGGAACGGGUCCUUGCUAAGCAAAAGGAGGAGCAUGAUGCUUCUCUUGAGGCCUUGGUCCAAAUGAGACUAGCCACACUAAUCACGAUGCUUGCACCACUUUCUGGUGGUGCGGCCUCGAGGCCAGCUGUGCCUACUCCUUCACUUGGUCAACAACCUCCUAGUAAUGAACACUCCAGUGUUCCUUGGCUUUAUGCAAGACCUCAAAUAGAGAAACCAAAGUAUAACCCUCAAGGCAAACCUCCUUUACUUGAUGACACUACCGAUUUUGCUUUGUGGAGAGUUGCUAUGCAGGAUCAUCUUCGAUAUGGAAAUGAUGAGACGUUGGAUAUCUUGGAGUAUGGCUACCAAGCUGUUGACCCGAAGAAUAUUACUCCAAGAGAGGUAUAUGACAAGAAUCUCAAUGACACAGCAACCAUGUGCAUAAGGAGAGGUAUGACCGACAAGCAAAGGAGACCAUACAUACAUAUCACAAGUGCCAAGGAAUUAUGGGAUAGCAUUGUGAGGACCAAGACCGGUACCUCCACUCUCCGGCUUGCUCAAUAUGAAAUUGCGAAGGGUCAAUUGCAAGACUUUUGUAUGGAGAAAGGUGAAUCUCCCAAGCAAAUCCUUGAGUGUCUCAUGACUCUCACCGCUGACAUCAAGUCUUGUGAGUGUGAUAAGACACAAGAUGGAUUCAACUUGACUAAGCGAUUUCUCGUGGACAAGUUGCUUCAUGCUCUUGCUCCGUAUCAUCAUCAAAUGGUGUGGGACACGAGACACCACCAUGGAUUCAAGUAAAUGACUCCGGAUGACAUCAUAUCCACCUUCCAACUAUUUCAAGAGACAAAGGCAAAUGCUACAAAACAUCUUGCCAUGCAUGGUACCUCAACAUCAAAAAUCAAUCUCGCAUUAAAGGCCAAGCAUGUAUAUGAAGAAGCAAAGUGAAGAAGAGGAAGAUGAUGAGGAUGAAGAUGGUGAUGAGAUUGACUCCGCUGAGAGUCCAUCAUAUGAAGACAUUGCUCUCUUUGUCAAGAAGUUUAGCGCGGGGAAAUUCAAGGGAAGAUUCCAGAAGAAGAAAGUGAGGAAAUGCUACAAUUGUGAAGAAACCAACCACUUCUCCAACGAUUGCCCUUAUGAGAAGAGAGAAGAUAAACCAAGGUUUCCCAAGACCUUUCCCAAGAAGAAGUUGCCAAAUCCUUUGAACUCCAAGCUCAAGAAGAGAGAUGGGAAAGCAAUGGCUGCUCAUGAAGAAUCCGAUCCGGAUGAUGUUAAUGGUUUUGCCGGAGUAGCCCAAGAUUCUCAAAACACUUUGAGGCUAGUCAACAAGAGUGGUGAUGUUGUCACCUACAACUACAUGAAAGACUACAAGGGCAAUGCUCACAAGUGCCUAAUGGCAAAGGCUAUGGUAGAAGAUGGAGAGGAUCAAAACUCUCCUGACAAGGUCAAGGUAACCCCAUGAUCAAACCCUCCUCUUUUCACUCCUUCUACUCCUAGUGAUGAGUAUCUUGAUGCGGAGGAGAACUAUGAUGAUAAUGAUAUAGAUGACCCCAUGUUUGGUAAAUUAAAUAAGGUCAUGUGCUCCCUCAAAGGAAAGAAGCUCACUAUGUUUCAUAUGCUUAUGGAGAUGGUGGGUAAGCACACCGUCACCAUUAAGGCACUCGAAACCCUCAUAACGAGGAAAAGGAAAAAUAUGAAAUCCUUGAGCGGAAAGUCCAAUAUGAGGAAGCACGAAAUGAUGAACUAUGCUUGAAAAUUGGUGCAAACAUUGAUGUUCAUGCUAAAGAUCUUGCCUCCUUGAAACAGGCUAAGGACUCUUGCGAAGAGUUGAUGAAUGAUAAAAGUAAGCUUGUGAAGUCUCAUGCUUCUCUCUCUAAGGAUUGUGAGCUCCUACCUGUGUCCCUCAAGACUAAGGAAGAAGAGCUCACCCUUCUUCCAAAGAGUUUUGAGACGCUCAAGCUUACUUAUCUUGAAACUCUAGCCAAGGCUUACUCUUCUCCUAUUAUCAAUGUUGAUGCUUGUACUAUGAUACGUCUCCAACGUAUCUAUAUUUUUUAUUGUUCCAUGAUGUUAUAUUGUCAAGCUUGGAUGUUUUAUAAUUAUUUAUAGUCAUUUUAUAUCAUUUUUGGUACUAACUAUUGACAUAGUGCCAAGUGCUAGUUGCUGUUUUCUGCAUGUUUUUUACAACACAGGAAAUCAAUAUCAGACGGAGCCAAAUGCAAAGAAACUUCACGGAGAUUUUUUAUGGACCAGAAGACACAUAAUGGGCCUUGGCUGCGCCUGGGGGGUGCUCCAAGGAGAGCACAACCCACUAGGGCGCGCCAGGAGGUCCAGGCGCGCCCUGGUGGGUUGUGCCCACCUCGGGUGCCCCCCGGACCGCCUCUUUGCUCUAUAAAUACCCCAAUAUUCCAAAAAUCCUAGGGGAGUCGAUGAAAUAUUGAUCCAGCCACCGCAGAGUCCAGAACCACCAGAUCCAAUCUAGACACCAUCACAGAUGGAGUUCACCACCUCCAUUGGUGCCUCUCCGAUGAUGCGUGAGUAGUUCUUUGUAGACCUUUGGGUUCGUAGUUAGUAGCUAGAUGGCUUCCUCUCUCUUGAUGAAUUCUCAAUACAAUGGUCUCUUGGAGAUUCAUAUGAUGUAACUCUUUUUGCGGUGUGUUUGUUGGGAUCUGAUGAACUUUGAGUUUAUGAUCAGUUAUAUCUUUUUAUAUCCAUGAAAGUAUUUGAGUUUCUUUGAUCUCUUUUAUGCAUGAUCUCUUAUAGCCUCGUAUUUCUUCUCCGAUAUUUGGGUUUUGUUUGGCCAACUUGAUCUAUUUAUCUUGCAAUGGGAAGAGGUGCUUUGUAGUGGGUUCGAUCUUAUGGUGCUUGAUCCCAAUGACAGAAAGGGAACUGACACGUAUGUAUCGUUGCUACUAGUGAUAAAACGAUGGGGUCUAUCUCUACAUAGAUAGAUCUUGUCUACAUCAUGUCAUCGUUCUUAUUGCAUUACUCCGUUUCUCCAUGAACUUAAUACACUAGAUGCAUGCUGGAUAGCGGUCGAUGUGUGGAGUAAUAGUAGUAGAUGCAGGCAGGAGUCGGUCUACUAAUCUUGGACGUGAUGCCUAUGUAUGAUCAUUGCAUGGAUAUCGUCAUGAUUAUUUGAAGUUCUAUCAAUUACCCAACAAUAAUUUGUUCACCCACCGUUUGCUAUUUUUCUUGAGAGAAGCCACUAGUGAAACCUACGGCCCCCGAGUCUCUUUCUCAUAUAUUUGCCUUUGUGGUCUACUUUUCUUUUGCAUUUAUUUUCAGAUCUAUUAAACUAAAAACACAAAACUACCUCGCUGCAUUUUAUUAUUAUUUAUUUUAUUUGGCGUUCGAUCUAUCAAUCUAUUACAACUUUUUCCCGUCCACGAGCCAUCUCUGGCGCCGUUACCCGAAAGGGAUUGACAACCCCUUUAACACGUCGGGUUGCGAGUGGUUGUUAUUUGUGUGCAGGGGUUGUUUACGUUGUGUUGCUUGGUUCUCCUACUGGUUCGAUAACCUUGGUUUCAUAUCUGAGGGAAAUACCUACCGUCGUUGUGCCGCAUCAUCCCUUCCUCUUUGGGGAAAUACCGACGUAGUCCUAACCUUCAUCAAAAGGAAUUUCUGGUGCCGUUGCCGGGGGGAAUCAAGUCAAGAUAGCCUCCCGUCAACACGCCAUUUCUGGCGCCGUUGCCAGGUAGGAUCUUCAACAUAUACCAGGUUCCUAAUCACAAAUCUCAUCUCCUCACAAUUUACAUUAUUUGCCAUUUGCCUCUCGUUUUCCUCUCCCCCACUUCACAAAAAUUUAUCGUUUUAUUCACCCUUUUUUUCCGUUUGCCGUUUUCUUGCCGAAUCUAUCUGUGUUCUUGCUUCCUAGUCAUAAUGGCUAGCGUCCCUACUCCUCCUUUGUCACCAGAUUUUGAAGUUCUUUACUUCAAGCAAAGACAAGGAGAAAAUUUGAAAGAUGCCUAGUAUAGGCUUAUGGAAUCAUAUCGUAUUUCCAAUCUAAAGGGGGACGCUAAGGUUUUGCUUCAUAAUUUUUACAUAGGAUUGGCUUUGCAUCAUAGACAACUUCUAGACUUUGCCGCUAAAGGGAAUUUUACUGAGCUUGAUGCCAAUGCUGCCUAUGAAAUUUUAGAAGGAAUUUUGGGGAUUCCACCCCAAAAGAAAGGGUUUUCUUUCACCCCCGAGGGAGUUCAAAUGUUGGACAAACUUGGUGAUUUGCAUAAACAUAUGGUUGAAAUACAGAAAUAUAAUGAACCCUGAUACGUCUCCAACGUAUCUAUAAUUUUUGAUUGUUCCAUGCUAUUAUAUAUUCUGUUUUGGAUGUUUAAUGGCCUUUGUUAUACACUUUUAUAUUAUUUUUGGGACUAACCUAUUAACCGGAGGCCCAGCCCAAAUUGCUGUUCUUUUGCCUAUUUUAGUGUCUCGAAGGAAAGGAAUAUCAAACGGAGUCCAAAUGGAAUGAAACCUUCAGGAACGUGAUUUUCGGAACAAACGUGAUCCAGAGGACUUGGAGUGGACGUCAAGCAAUCAACAAGGAGGCCACGAGGUAGGGAGGCGCGCCUGCCCCUGGGUGCGCCCCCACCCUCGUGGGCCCCUCGUAGCUCUCCUGACCGACCUCUUUCACCUAUAUAUACUCAUAUACCCUGGAAACAUCAUAUACAGAGCCAAAACCUAUUUCCACCGCCGCAACCUUCUGUACCCGUGAGAUCCCAUCUUGGGGCCUUUUCUGGCGCUCCGCCGGAGGGGGCAUUGAUCACGGAGGGCUUCUACAUCAACACCAUAGCCUCUCCGAUGAUGUGUGAGUAGUUUACCUCAGACCUUCGGGUCCAUAGUUAUUAGCUAGAUGGCUUCUUCUCUCUCUUUGGAUCUCAAUACAGAGUUCACCUCGAUCUUCUUGGAGAUCUAUUUGAUGUAACUCUUUUUGCGGUGUGUUUGUCGAGAUCCGAUGAAUUGUGGGUUUAUGAUCUAGAUUAUCUAUGAACAAUAUUUGAAUCUUCUCUGAAUUCUUUUAUGUAUGAUUGGUUAUCUUUGCAAGUCUCUUCGAAUUAUCAGUUUGGUUUGGACUACUAGAUUGAUCUUUCUUGCAAUGGGAGAAGUGCUUAGCUUUGGGUUCAAUCUUGCGGUGCUCGAUCCCAGUGACAGUAGGGGAAAUGACACGUAUUGUAUUGUUGCCAUCGAGGAUAAAAAGAUGUGGUUUAUAUCAUAUUGCAUGAGUUUAUCCCUCUACAUCAUGUCAUCUUGCUUAAAGCGUUACUCCGUUCUUAUGAACAUAAUACUCUAGAUGCAUGCUGGAUAGCGGUCGAUGUGUGGAGUAAUAGUAGUAGAUGCAGGCAGGAGUCGGUCUACUUGUCACGGACGUGAUGCCUAUGUACAUGAUCAUACCUAGAUAUUCUCAUUACUAUGCUCAAUUCUAUCAAUUGCUCGACAGUAAUUUGUUCACCCACUGUAAUACUUAUGCUAUCUUGAGAGAAGCCACUAGUGAAACCUAUGGCCCCCGGGUCUAUUUUCCAUCAUAUUAAUCUCCCAUCAACAAGCUAUUUCUGGCGCCGUUUAUUUUGCAAUCCUUACUUUUAAUCUUUAUCAUAAAAAUACCAAAAAUAUUAUCUUAUCAUCUCUAUCAGAUCUCACUUUUGCAAGUGGCCCUGAAGGGAUUGAAAACCCCUUUAUCGUGUUGGUUGCAAGGUUCUUAUUUGUUUGUGUAGGUACAAGGGACUUCAGCAUGGCCUCCUACUGGAUUGAUACCUUGGUUCUCAAAAACUGAGGGAAAUACUUACGCUACUUUGCUGCAUCACCCUUUCCUCUUCAAGGGAAAACCAACGCAGUGCUCAAGAGGUAGCAAGAAGGAUUUCUGGCGCCGUUGCCGGGGAGUCUACGCACAAGUCAAGACAUACCAAGUACCCAUCACAAACACUUAUCCCUCGCAUUACAAUAUUUGCCAUUUGCCUCUCCUUUUCCUCUCCCCCACUUCACCCUUGCCGUUUUAUUUGCCCUCUUUUUCCGUUCCCUCUUUUCUCGUGUUCCUUGAGUUUGCUGCUGUUAUGUCUGAAUCUGAGGAGGUUAUCAUUGAUAAGAGUGAUAAUAAUAACACGGAAAAUUUUGAUGCUUUCAAUGAUCCUCAUGAGGAACGUACUAUCUGAAGGAAAUAUGCCCUAGAGGCAAUAAUAAAGUUAUUAUUUAUUUCCUCAUAUCAUGAUAAAUGUUUAUUAUUCAUGCUAGAAUUGUAUUAACCGGAAACAUAAUACAUGUGUGAAUACAUAGACAAACAUAGUGUCACUAGUAUGCCUCUACUUGACUAGCUCGUUGAUCAAAGAUGGUUGAGUUUCUUAUCCAUAGACAUGAGUUUUCAUUUGAUUAACGGGAUCACAUCAUUAGGAGAAUGAUGUGAUUGACUUGACCCAUUCCUUUAGCUUAGCACUUAAUCGUUUAGUUUACUGCUAUUGCUAUCUUCAUGACUUAUACAUGUUCCUCUGACUAUGAGAUUAUGCAACUCCCGAUUACCGAAGGAACACUUUGUGUGCUACCAAACAUCACAAUGUAACUGGGUGAUUAUAAAGGUGCUCUACAGGUGUCUCCGAUGGUACUUGUUGAGUUGGCAUAAAUCAAGAUUAGGAUUUGUCACUCCGAUUGUCGAAGAGGUAUCUCUGGGCCCUCUCGGUAAUGCACAUCACUAUAAGCCUUGCAAGCAAUGUGAAUAAUAAGUUAGUUGCGGGGUGAUGCAUUACGGAACGAGUAAAGAGACUUGCCGGUAACGAGAUUGAGCUAGGUAUUGAGAUACCGACGAUCGAAUCUCGGGCAAGUAACAUACCGAUGACAAAGGGAACAACGUAUAUUGUUAUGCGGUUUGACCGAUAAAGAUCUUCGUAGAAUAUGUAGGAGCCAAUAUGAGCAUCCAGGUUCCGCUAUUGGUUAUUGACCGGAGACGUGUCUCGGUCAUGUCUACAUAGUUCUCGAACCCAUAGGGUCCGCACGCUUAAAGUUCUGUGACGAUCGGUAUUAUGAGUUUGUGUAUUGAUGUACCGAAGGUAGUUCGGAGUGCCGGAUGUGAUCACGGACAUGACGAGGAGUCUCGAAAUGGUUGAGACGUAAAGAUUGAUAUAUUGGACGACUAUGUUCGAACACCGGAAAGGUUCCGGAAGGUUUCGGGCAUAUACCGGAGUACCGGGGGUUACCGAAACCCCCCGGGGAGUUAAUUGGGCCUCAUGGCCCCUAGUGGGAGAAGAGGAGGGGCGAUCAGGGCAGCCGCGCGCCCCUCCCCCUCUAUUUCGAAUUGGACAAGGAGGGGGGGGGGCGCCCCCCUUUUUCCUUCUCUUCCUCUCUCCCUUCCUUUCCUUCUCCUACUCCUAAUAGGAAAAGAGGAGUCCUACUCCCGAUGGGAGUAGGACUCCCGGUGAGAGUAGGACUCCCCCCUUGGCGCGCCCUCCUCCUAGCCGGCCGCCUCCCCCUAGCUCCUUUAUAUACGAGGGCAGGGGGCACCCCAAAGACACAACAAUUGAUCAUUGAUCUUUUAGCCGUGUGCGGUGCCCCCUCCACCAUAAUCCACCACGGUCAUAUCGUAGCGGUGCUUAGGCGAAGCCCUGCGUCGGUAGCUUCAUCAACAUCGUCACCGCGCCGUCGUGCUGACGAAACUCUCCCUCGAUCUCUACUGGAUCGUGAGUUCGCGGGACGUCACCGAGCUGAACGUGUGCUGAACACGGAGGUGCCGUACGUUCGGUGCUGAAGAUCGAUCGAUCGUGAAGACGUAUGACUACAUCAACCGUGUCGUUAUAACGCUUCCGCUUAACGGUCUACGAGGGUACGUGGACGACACUCUCCCCUCUCGUUGCUAUGCAUCACCAUGAUCUUGCGUGUGCGUAGGAAUUUCUUUGAAAUUACUACGUUCCCCAACAGUGGCAUCCGAGCCAGGUUUAUGCGUAGAUGUUAUAUGCACGAGUAGAACACAAGUGAGUUGUGGGCGAUACAAGUCAUACUGCUUACCAGCAUGUCAUACUUUGGUUCGGCGGUAUUGUUGGAUGAAGCGGCCCGGACCGACAUUACGCGUACGCUUACGCGAGACUGGUUCUACCGACGUGCUUUGCACACAGGUGGAUGGCGGGUGUCAGUUUCUCCAACUUUAGUUGAACCGAGUGUGGCUACGCCCGGUCCUUGAGAAGGUUAAAACAACACUAACUUGACGAACUAUCGUUGUGGUUUUGAUGCGUAGGUAAGAACAGUUCUUGAUCAACCCGUAGCAGCCACGUAAAACUUGCAACAACAAAGUAGAGGACGUCUAACUUGUUUUUGCAGGGCAUGUUGUGAUGUGAUAUGGUCAAGACAUGAUGCUAUAUUUUAUUGUAUGAGAUGAUCAUGUUUUGUAACGGAGUUAUCGGCAACUGGCAGGAGCCAUAUGGUUGUCGCUUUAUUGUAUGCAAUGCAAUCGCCCUGUAAUUGCUUUACUUUAUCACUAAGCGGUAGCGAUAGUCGUAGAAGCAAUAGUUGGUGAGAUGACAACGAUGCUACGAUGGAGAUCAAGGUGUCGCGCCGGUGACGAUGGUGAUCAUGAUGGUGCUUCAGAGAUGGAGAUCACAAGCACAAGAUGAUGAUGGCCAUAUCAUAUCACUUACAUUGAUUGCAUGUGAUGUUUAUCCUUUAUGCAUCUUAUUCUGCUUUGAUUGACGGUAGCAUUAUAAGAUGAUCUCUCACCAAAUUUCAAGGUAUAAGUGUUCUCCCUGAGUAUGCACCGUUGCGAAAGUUCGUCGUGCCGAGACACCACGUGAUGAUCGGGUGUGAUAAACUCUACGUUCAAAUAUAACGGGUGUAAGCCAGUUUUGCACACGUAGAAUACUCGGGUUAAACUUGACGAGCCUAUCAUAUGCAGAUAUGGCCUCGGAACACAGAGACCGAAAGGUCGAGCGUGAAUCAUAUAGUAGAUAUGAUCAACAUAGUGAUGUUCACCAUUGAAAACUACUCCAUCUCACGUGAUGAUCGGACAUGGUUUAGUUGAGAUGGAUCACGUGAUCACUUAGAUGAUUCGAGGGAUGUCUAUCUAAGUGGGAGUUCUUAAAUAAUAUGAUUAAAUUGAACUUUAAUUUAUCAUGAACUUAGUACCUGAUAGUAUUUUGCUUGUCUAUGUUGUUGUAGAUAGAUGGCCCGUGUUGUUGUUCCGUUGAAUUUUAAUGCGUUCCUUGAGAAAGCAAAGUUGAAAGAUGAUGGUAGGAAUUACACGUACUGGGUCCGUAACUUGAGGAUUAUCCUCAUUGCUGCACAGAAGAAUUAUGUCUUGAAAGCACCGUUGGGUGCCAGGCCUGCUGCAGAUGCAACUGACGACGUUAAGAACGUCUGGCAGAGCAAAGCUGAUGACUACUCAAUAGUUCAGUGUGCCAUGCUUUACGGCUUAGAACCGGGAAUUCAACGACGUUUUGAAUGUCAUGGAGCAUAUGAGAUGUUCCAGGAGUUGAAGUUAAUAUUUCAAGCAAAUGCCCGGAUUGAGAGAUAUGAAGUCUCCAAUAAGUUCUAUAGCUGCAAGAUGGAGGAGAAUAGUUCUGUCAGUGAACAUAUACUCAAAAUGUCUGGGUAUAACAAUCACUUGAUUCAACUGGGAGUUAAUCUUUUGGAUGAUAGUGUCAUUGACAGAAUUCUUCAAUCACUGCCACCAAGCUACAAGAGCUUUGUGAUGAACUAUAAUAUGCAAGGGAUGGAUAAGACAAUUCCCGAGCUCUUCGCGAUGCUAAAAGUUGCGGAGGUAGAAAUCAAGAAGGAGCAUCAAGUGUUGAUGGUCAACAAGACCACCAGUUUCAAGAAAAAGGGUAAAGGGAAGAAGAAGGGCAACUUCAAGAAGAACAGCAAACAAGUUGCUGCUCAGGAGAAGAAACCCAAGUCUGGACCUAAGCCUGAGACUGAGUGCUUCUACUGCAAACAGACUGGUCACUGGAAGCGGAACUUCCCCAAGUAUUUGGCGGACAAGAAGGAUGGCAAGGUGAACAAAGGUAUAUGUGAUAUACAUGUUAUUGAUGUGUACCUUACUAAUGCUCACAGUAGCACCUGGGUAUUUGAUACUGGUUUUGUUGCUAAUAUUUGCAACUCGAAACAGGUGUCGGUGUCAAAAACGGCGGAUCUCGGGUAGGGGGUCCCGAACUGUGCGUCUAAGGUCGAUGGUAACAGGAGACGGGGGACACGAUGUUUACCCAGGUUCGGGCCCUCUCUAUGGAGGUAAUACCCUACUUCCCGCUUGAUUGAUCUUGAUGAAUAUGAGUAUUACAAGAGUUGAUCUACCACGAGAUCGUAAUGGCUAAACCCUAGAGGCCUAGCCUGUAUGACUAUGGUAAUGAGUAUAUCCUUUCCAGACUACGCCCUCCGGUUUAUAUAGACACCGAAGGGAUCUAGGGUUACAUAGAGUCGGUUACAUAAGAAGGAAUCUUCAUAGUCGGUCGCCUAGCUUGCCUCCCACGCCAAGGAAAGUCCUAUCCGGAUACGAGUAUAGUCUUCGGUCUUCAUGUCUUCACAGCCCACCAGUCUGGCCCAUGGAUAACAGGCCGGACGUCCAAGGACCCCUUAGUCCAGGACUCCCUCAGUAGCCCUCGAACCAGGCUUCAAUGACAAGGUGUUCGGCACGCAGAUUGUCUUCGACAUUGCAAGACGGGUUCCUUCUCCAAGUAAUGUAUUCGGCCGUUGAUUCAAUAUCGCCCUCCUCGGCUUCUGUGCGCUAAUAACUUCGGCUUCCAUGUGUCGAGCGAAUCCAGAAGGUCAGGGUAUUUUUGCAAAUAACACCCCAUCCAGGCAAGGAAGAGCGUCUAUUUAAAGAGAUUGGAUCUUAGAUCCAUUUGGCGCCACACGGAGAAAGUCCCCAGAGAUCGCCAGGAGAAACCAUUCCAACAUGGCUAGCAUUCCCAGCUCCUCCUCCCGUUCCGGCCCAGAGAAAGGCGAGUGGGAGAAGUGCUCUGUAUCCCACAGUCAAUUGGCGAAAUUGCAAACGCAGGGAUUUCUUCCUCCGGCGGAUCUGGUCCCUGUUCGAGCAGGGCUGGCCUCCUUUAAUGGUGAGACCCAGGCGGAGGACUUCCCCAAUCCAUCCGGGGGAGCGAUUGUGUUUCGUCCCCUUUCUGCUAAGAGGCGUCGGAUUUCCAAUCCAUCCGUUCCUUCGAGGGCUUCUGGAAUACUAUGGCCUCCAGCUGCACAACUUCACUCCCGCCUCUAUCCUGCACAUCACAGGUUAUGUCGCUUUAUGCGAAUUAUUUCUGGGUGUUGAGGCCCACUUUGAACUGUGGAGAAAAUUGUUCUGUCUUGUCUCGCGUAACCAUGAGGGGUCAAUAUUUGAAGUGGGCGGAGUCGAAGUGUGGCGCAUUGCCGAUACCGGGUACCUGUCCGGCACACCAAAGAGGGCAUCUGAAGAAUGGCCUUCUGAAUUGUUCUACAUUGAGGACGUUGCGCUUCCCGACCUAGUUCGAAAGGGUCUUCCUGAAUUUGCAAGCGUUCCACUGAAGAAACGCCACAGUUGGCGUCCCCGGGGUCUUGAAGAGGAUGACAGUGCGGAAGUUGGUCAGCUCAUGAGCAAGAUAAAGAUGCUCGCCCAGUCCGAUUAACAAUAGUCGAGGUAAUGGCAGCCUCCAUAGCGCGAGGGGUUCAGCCGCUUCAAUAUAGAGGGCUCCCAAUGUGGCACUACAAUGGGGAGGAUGACACCUCCCGCUGUGGUCGAAAAGGUCCGGACACCCCCGCCGCUCUGGCCAAGAUACUGGCCGAGCUGUUCAAAGGGGAGGAAGAGGAAUUUCUCCGAAUCAAUCGCAGAGAUGGGUAUUCUAUGUAUAAUCCUCCCAGUUGGGUAAGCCUCAAUCCUUCUGCUUUACUCAUUCCGCUUCCCGCAUCACCUUUGAUAAAUUUCUAAUCCGCUUAUAACAGCAUUGGCAAAAAAUCACCGAGGGACUUUAUAGUCCCGCCCCACAGCCGGAAAACCACAACCGGGAGGUGGAUCCUGGAUUUGAAGAGGACUCGGAUAUAUCCGUGGUACUUGCGGAAGGGGUGUUUUACCAGGCGAGCUACGAUGGCACUGAAGUGGCUAUUAUCGCCGAUUAUCCUGGUCUUCUUCCUGCUUCCCACGUAAGUCAUCAAGAAAAAUCCCCCUCGGAAGAGUUUCCUCGCACUGCCUCACCUACCGCACUACCUCGUGCUCCAAAGGGGAGGCAUUCGGCACGCCAUGCUACUCCGGGGGCGACUCCAAAGAGAGCGGCUCUAGCGCCGAGCAAGGCCUCUAAAAGGAAGGCCGGUGAAGACACGACCGGUCCCUCGUCAAAGAGGUACGGAUUUGAAGGUAUACUUUAUUAGUCACAUCCAACUGUAACUUGUGUGUUUGUCUUGCACCAGAAAAAAGGUUCACCGGACUAUGUCCGGGGGUCCGGCCAGCCGUACUCCCGACAACCGGGAUUUAGACCCCGCUAGAGAAACGGGAGCCUGUACGGGAACAACGCCGGACUGUCCCUCGGCCGAGGGUUCGGAAAAUAUGUCCGUUACCAACUCAGAAGUAGAGAGCGCCAUGAACCAUCGGCGCUGCAGGGCUGUUUUACGAGACCCCCAGCUCUCGGAAGAGGCAUUCAAUGCCUUCAGCUCGGCUGACGCAUACAUCCGAGCUGCUCGGAACGGGCUUAGCAGAGCCACAAAGCAGCAUUUAACAGAUGUGCAGGUAAGCUUACAGUGCCCAAAAUAUGAUAACCAUGUGCCAGUAGCCCCCGAGACUUAAAGUAGUUGGUACAACUGAUUUGAGGAUCGUUGUAUAACCAGGCUCUUACGGAGAAGAACGUCAUGUUAGCCCAAGAGCUAAAAAGGUGUCAGACACAGCUAACUGUUGUCGCCGCCGAACUGGAGAAAUCCAAGAAGGCGUCAUCUGGUAAUAUUCCCCUCCAUCGAGAAAUAUAAUUAUAUGCUAUUAAUGCCAACAGUGUUGCCUAUACCAUGACAUGAUUGUCAGAGGAACUCAAGGAGGCGCUGGAAAUCACGCAAGCGAAUGAACAAGAAGCCAGAAGGCUACAUGCUGCGGGCGAGCGUGUGCAUAAGCAGGUCAUUGUUGAGAAAAACUAACUCCAGGAUUGCAAGACCCAACUAGGCGAAGAGCUGAAGGAUGUGCGGGCCCAGCUAGCCGAUUCCGUGAAGGAGAACAAGAAGCUGCGGGGCGGCAUAUUCAGUAUGUGUUCGCACUAUUUUUAAAGUAGUUCGAAGAUAAGUGGAACUGAAGUAUAGUUAUGAUUGCAGGUAUAUUGACGGGCUGUCCUGAAGAGGAGGUGUCCGGAUCAUCAAAUGAUCUACUGCAAGGGAUGUUGCAAGUGCACGAACAGGCUCGGCUGGCGAUGCGGAGUGUUGUCAAGGCCCUAUGGCCAUCCACUUCCCCUCCAGGAAGUAUGGAGGAGCUUGUAGAGCUGUUCAAAGGAGCGCGGCGGCGUAUCCGAAUGUGGAAGAUAUCGGCCUGCCGAGAGGGUGCGCGAGAGGCCUGGGCCAUGGUGAAGACGCGGUAUACCAAGCUGGAUCCUAAUCACAUGGCCUGUGUCGGACCGCUAGGGUCGAACGGGGAAGAGAUUCCCGUUAGUUUAGUAUAUGACCAAGUAGAGGUGGACGCCAAAUAUUCCCAACAGGAUUGUAAAUUAGACCGCCUUUUGGGCGGUGUAGAGGAGGAAGUGUUUGAGUCCAAGUGACUAUGUACUUUCCUUGAUAUGUCUAACCCUAGCUGAAUUGUAUAUCGUUUGUCAUGGUAGACCUUUUCGCUUCAACCUCCAGACCCGAAGGUGCGAAGUGUUUCCGAAUACUUGCACGGCCGAAUAGACCGGAGUAUGCGCGGAAAGCUAGGCGUAGGGGUCAUAGUUGCUUGAACAGACAAGUUGUAUCCGGCUAGCUAUGUUAUAUUACAUUGAGAUUGUAAGAAACAUCUUCCAGAGAGAAUAGUUCCGUUAAGGGUUCCUUUCCCUGGGUUUGCAUGCACUAGUGUACAUGUCCGAAUUGUGAUGGGAAAAUCACAGUGUAUGUAACUUCCGGGGGUUCAUAAUGGAGUGAAUGCAAAGAUGUCUUUAAUUCACCGACCGAAUAUUCCCUUAAGAACGCUAGAUUUCGACUUCACCCAGUCUAAGGUACACAUCCGGAUGACCCGGCAGUAACAAUCGCAGAGGUGCUCCCUUUAUGCCCUAGCCGAACUAACGGGAACGUAGGGCAUAAGCACAGGAGCCAGGCAACCCAGCUUUGCCAAAACUUAAGUCAUAUCGAUGCAUAUAGUGGCGAAGAAAAGGUACAUAUGGAAAAACUCAUAUGUGAAGAGCUUGAUGCUCAAGGAAUAAUAAUACAAAGCUUCUGUCCCAGAAGCCCCCAGGUAUAAUGGACGUACAUAUUUAAAUAUGUAUAGGUCACAAGUGCGCGGUUGAGCCGCGCGAAAGCUUUAAGGCUAAAAAGAAAAGGAAAGCAAAAAAGAGAGAAAAAAUAGGGUAUAUAGUAGGGAGAAGGGGACGGACAAAGAUUUCGGCGCUAGGCAUAGAAUCUUCGGAGUCUGGCCACAUUCCAUGGGUUCGGCUCUAAGCGAUUGUGUGAGGCAUCACGUAGGCAGUACGCUCCUCCGGUGAGAACUUCGUCGAUGAUGAAGGGACCCUCCCACUUGGGCUUGAGUUUGUCCUUUUUCUUCUCCGGCAAGCGUAGAACUAGUUCGCCAACAUUAUAAGUUUUGGCCCAUACUUCUCUGCUUUGAUAUCUUCGGGCCUGCUGUUGAUAAAAUGCGGAACGGGCUUUUGCGACGUCGCGCUCCUCCUCCAGGGCAUCUAAGUUGUCCUGCCGAUCAAGCUCGGCUUCUCUCUCUUCAUACAUGCGCACUCGAGGUGAGCCAUGAAUAAUGUCGCAGGGUAACACAGCCUCUGCGCCGUACACCAUGAAAAAGGGUGUGUAUCUGGUAGUGCGAUUGGGCGUGGUCCGCAGCCCCCAAAGAACGGAGUCGAGCUCCUCGACCCAGUGCUUGUCUGAUUCUGUCAAAGACCGCACUAGUCUGGGUUUAAUGCCGCUCAUAAUGAGACCAUUGGCUCGUUCGACUUGACCAUUUGUUUGUGGGUGAUAGACGGAGGCAUAAUCGAGUUUAAUGCCCAGAUUAGCACACCAGGUUUUUACCUCGUCGGCUGUGAAAUUGGAGCCGUUAUCGGUGAUGAUGCUGUGUGGAACACCAUAGCUGUGCACAACACCGGAUAUGAAAUAUAUCACUGGUCCGGCCUCGGCCGUUUUGACCGGUUUGGCCUCUAUCCACUUAGUGAAUUUAUCUACCAUGACCAGCAGGUAUUUUUUCUUAUGGCUUCCCCCUUUAAGGGUUCCGACCAUAUCCAGUCCCCAGACCGCGAAAGGCCAAGUGAUGGGGAUAGUUUGUAAGGCAGUUGGGGCAAUGUGGCUUUGGUUGGCGAAGAGUUGGCAUCCGAUGCAGCGUUGGACAAGGUCCUGCGCGUCUGCUCGGGCUGUCGGCCAAUAAAACCCAGUGCGGAAGGCCUUGCUAACAAGGGCCCGAGCUGCGGCGUGGUGUCCGCCGAGACCAGCGUGAAUUUCUGCUAAAAGCUUCCGCCCCUCUUCCUCGGAGAUACAUCGUUGAAGUACUCCGGUAGUACUUUUGUUGUAGAGCUCUCCCUUGUGCACCUUGUAGGCCUUCGAGCGCCGGACAAUGCAGCGAGCCUCAUUCUGGUCUUCGGGAAGCUCCUUCCUAUUAAUGUAGGCCAAGAAGGGUUCGGUCGAUGGGUCAAUGACUGCCAUAAUGAGAUGGGACGAUGGUGUUAUUUCGGUAGCUGAGCCCCCGAUACUAUCGGCGUGUUCGGGAUUUGGGGUUGUAUUCGGAUCUGGACUGUCGUUGCUGCCCUCCCCUUGCCACACCACGAAUGGCUUGAAAAGCCUUUCCAGGAAAAUGUUGGGUGGGACAGGGUCGCGCUUGGCGCCAAUGCAAGCAAGGACGUCCGCUGCUUGAUUGCUUUCCCGGGCGACGUGAUGAAAUUCGAGCCCCUCGAACCGAGCCGAUAUUUUUAAGACGACAUUACGAUAGGCUGCCAUCUUUGGAUCUUUGGCAUCAAAGUCUCCAUUUAUUUGAGAUAUUGCGAGGUUUGAAUCCCCGUGCACCUCUAGGCGUUGUAUGCCCAUGGAUACGGCUAUCCGAAGGCCAUGCAAUAGGGCCUCGUAUUCGGCUGCGUUGUUGGAGUCUGUGUAUAGUAUUUGGAGUACGUACUGGACGACGUCUCCAGUGGGGGAUGUUAACACGACUCCCGCUCCUAGCCUUGUCAGCAUUUUGGAGCCGUCAAUAUACAUAACCCAAUUGGAAUAUGCGCCGUACUCUUUAGGGAGUUCGGCCUCUGUCCAUUCGGCGACGAAGUCGGCCAGUACUUGGGAUUUGAUGGCUCAACGUGGCUUGUAUGUUAUGUCAAAUGGAAGUAGCUCUAUGGCCCAUUUGGCGAUCCGUCCCGUGGCAUCGCGGUUGUUUGUUAUGUCAUUGAGCGGGACUUCAGAAGCCACCGUGAUUGAACACUCUUGGAAGUAGUGUCGUAGCUUUCGGGAUGCCAUAAAGACCGCACAUGCUAUCUUUUGAUAAUGGGGGUACCGGGAUUUGCAUGGUGUGAGGACAGCAGAUAUGUAGUAUACUGGUUUUUGAAGUGGGAAUUUGUGUCCGUCCUCUUCUCGUUCGACGACGAGCACGGCGCUCACCACCUGAUGUGUUGCCGAUAUGUAUAUCAACAUGGGUUCGCCAGCGUUUGGUGCAGCUAGGAUUGGGUUGCUUGCUAGGAGGGCCUUUAUUUCCUCCAGUCCGACAGUCGCCGCGUCUGUCCAUUCGAAAUCAUCAUUGCACCGUAAGAGGCAAUAGAGUGGCAGUGCCUUUUCUCCUAAUCUGGAUAUAAAGUGGCUUAACGCUGCCACGCAACCAACAAGUUUUUGGACUUGCUUGAGGUCUGUUGGCGUAGCCGACUGUGACAAGGCUCGGAUUUUGGCCGGGUUUGCUUCUAUCCCUCUAUUGGAGAUGAUGAAGCCCGGCAGUUUUCCCGCGGGACGCCGAAGACACACUUUUCUCGGUUGAGUUUAAUGUCAUACGCACGGAGGUUGUCGAAUGUAAGACGUAAGUCGUCUAUCGACGUGCCUAGUUUUGAUGACGAUGUCAUCGAAGUAAGCUUCUACUGUCUUGCCGAUCUGCUUCUCCAGGCAGGUUUGAAUCAUGUGUUGGUAUGUGGCGCCGGCGUUCUUGAGCCUGAAGGGCAUGGUGUUGAAGCAAAAUGGGCCAUAUGGGGUAAUAAAUGCUGUUGCAGCUUGAUCGGAUUCCUUCAUUUUGAUUUGAUGGUAUCCGGAAUAUGCAUCGAGGAAACACAGUGAAUCGUGUCCUGCGGUGGCGUCAAUGAUUUGAUCAAUGCGGGGGAGGGGGAAGGGAUCCUUAGGGCAAGCCUUGUUGAGGUCUUUGAAAUCGACACACAGGCGCCAGGAUUUGUCCUUCUUUGGUACCAUCACCAGGUUUGCCAGCCAGUCCGGAUGUUUGAUUUCUCUGAUGAAUCCGGCUUCGAUAAGUUUGGCCAGCUCCUCCCCCAUGGCUUGUCGCUUGGGUUCGGAAAAGCGCCGUAGUGUUUGCUUGACUGGUUUAAAUCCCUUUAAUAUAUUGAGGCUAUGUUCAGCUAGCUUGCGUGGGAUCCCUGGCAUAUCUGAAGGGUGCCAGGCAAAUAUGUCCCAGUUUUCGCGCAGGAAUUCUCGUAGUGCGGCGUCAAUUGUUGGGUUCAGUUGCGCUCCGAUAGAUGCUGUCUUCUUAGGGUCCGUUGGGUGGACCUGGAAUUUGACUAUUUCUUCUGCUGGUUUGAAGAAGGUGGAUUUUGGGCGUUUGUCGAGUAUCACAUCGCCCUUGUCCACCGUGGAGCGCAGUGCGGUUAGUUCAUUGGCCGCGAAGGCUUCGGAUAGCGCCUCAAGGGCCAAGGAUGCGGUUUUGUUUUCAGCGCGGAGUGCUAUGUCCGGAUCACUUACGAGAGUGAUUAUACCGUUUGGCCCGGGCAUUUUGAGCUUCAUAUACCUGUAAUGAGGUAUAGCUUGGAAGCGUGUAAAAGCAUCCUGCCCCAACAAGGCGUGGUAUCCGCUGCUGAAAGGGGCCACUUGGAAAGUGAUUUCUUCGGACCGAUAAUUCUGCGGCGUGCCGAAUACCAUGUCAAGUGUGAUUUUGCCCGCGCACCGUGCCUUCCGACUGGGAAUGAUUCCUCGGAAGGUUGUGCUACUUUGCUUGAUGCGGCUCCUGUCUAUUUCCAUUUUGGGGAGUGUGUCCUCAUAAAUGAGAUUUAGUCCACUGCCGCCGUCCAUGAGGACUUUAGUAAGUCGAAACCCGUCCACGAUAGGACUGAGGACUAAUGCGGCUGGCACUCGGACUGUCCUGUACCUCAGUUCGUCACCGGCAUUAAAUGUUAUAGCCGUGUCGUUCCAAGGGUUUAUUGCAGCAAUUUGGCAAACUUCGAUGAGGUCGCGAAGUGCCCUUUUGCGCUUGUUGUUUGAAGCGAAUGUCUCGAAGACCGUCAAUACUCUUGUGUCGUCGCUUUCUGGAGGGUGUUGUUCUGGGGUGUCCUUGAUAAGGAUGUCCUUGCCGCUCUUGGCUACCUGCCGGAGUAUCCAACAUGCUCUAAGGCUGUGGGUUGCCACGGUAUCUGGCAUCGUGUGUAUUUUGCAUGGGCCAUCGAGCCAUCCCUCCAGAACGGUGUCGUGCCGCGUAAUGGGUUUAUGUUUCUUGACUGUUGGACUGGGCUAUUGGAAAUAUGCCCUAGAGGCAAUAAUAAAAUGGUUAUUAUUAUAUUUCCUUGUUCGUGAUAAUUGUCUAUUGUUCAUGCUAUAAUUGUGUUAUCCGGAAAUCGUAAUACAUGUGUGAAUACAUAGACCACAACAUGUCCCUAGUGAGCCUCUAGUUGACUAGCUCGUUGAUCAACAGAUAGUCAUGGUUUCCUGACUAUGGACAUUGGAUGUCAUUGAUAACGGGAUCACAUCAUUAGGAGAAUGAUGUGAUGGACAAGACCCAAUCCUAAGCAUAGCACAAGAUCGUGUAGUUCGUUUGCUAGAGCUUUUCCAAAUGUCAAGUAUCAUUUCCUUAGACCAUGAGAUUGUGCAACUCCCGGACACGAUAGGAGUGCUUUGGGUGUGCCAAACGUCACAACGUAACUGGGUGGCUAUAAAGGUGCACUACGGGUAUCUCCGAAAGUGUUUGUUGGGUUGGCACGAAUCGAGACUGGGAUUUGUCACUCCGUAUGACGGAGAGGUAUCUCUGGGCCCACUCGGUAAUGCAUCAUCAUAAUGAGCUCAAUGUGACCAAGUGUUUGGUCACGGGAUCAUGCAUUACGGUACGAGUAAAGUGACUUGCCGGUAACGAGAUUGAACAAGGUAUUGGGAUACCGACGAUCGAAUCUCGGGCAAGUAACGUACCGAUUGACAAAGGGAAUUGUAUACGGGAUUGAUUGAAUCCUCGACAUCGUGGUUCAUCCGAUGAGAUCAUCGUGGAACAUGUGGGAGCCAACAUGGGUAUCCAGAUCCCGCUGUUGGUUAUUGACUGGAGAGUCGUCUCGGUCAUGUCUGCAUGUCUCCCGAACCAGUAGGGUCUACACACUUAAGGUUCGGUGACGCUAGGGUUGUAGAGAUAUUAGUGUGCGGAAAUCCGAAAGUUGUUCGGAGUCCCGGAUGAGAUCCCGGACGUUACGAGGAGUUCCGGAAUGGUCCGGAGGUGAAGAAUUAUAUAUAGGAAGUCCAGUUUCGGCCACCGGGAAAGUUUCGGGGGUCACCGGUAUUGUACCGGGACCACCGGAAGGGUCCCGGGGGUCCACCGGGUGGGGCCACCUAUGCCAGAGGGCCCCAUGGGCUGAAGUGGGGAAGGGAACCAGCCCCUGGUGGGCUGGUGCGCCCCCCUUGGGCCUCCCCUGCGCCUAGGGUUGGAAACCCUAGGGGUGGGGGGGCGCCCCACUUGGCUUGGGGGGCAAGCCACCCCCUUGGCCGCCGCCCCCCUUGGAGAUUGCAUCUCCUAGGGCCGCCGCCCCCCAGGGGCCCUAUAUAAAGGGGGGGAGGGAGGGCAGCCGCACCCAAGCCCUGGCGCCCCCCUUGCUGGAUCAAGAAGGAGAAGACGUCUUCCCAACCGUACGUGUGUUGAACGCGGAGGUGCCGUCUGUUCAGCGCUCGGUCAUCGGUGAUUUGGAAAACGACGAGUACGACUCCAUCAACCCCGUUCUCUUGAACGCUUCCGCUCGCGAUCUACAAGGGUAUGUAGAUGCACUCCUCUCUCUCUCGUUGCUAGAUGACUGCAUAGAUUGAUCUUGGUGAUGCGUAGAAAAUUUUAAAUUUCUGCUACGAUCCCCAACAGUGGCAUCAUGAGCUAGGUCUAUGCGUAGUUUCUAUGCACGAGUAGAACACAAACUUGUUGUGGGCAUAGAUGUUGUCAAUUUUCUUGCCACUACUAGUCUUAUCUUGUUUCGGCGGCAGCGUGGGAUGAAGCGGCCCGGACCGACCUUACACGUACGCUUACGUGAGACAGGUUCCACCGACUGACAUGCACUAGUUGCAUAAGGUGGCUAGCGGGUGUCUGUCUCUCCCACUUUAGUCGGAUCGGAUUCGAUGAAAAGGGUCCUUAUGAAGGGUAAAUAGAAAUUGGCAUAUCAUGUUGUGGUUUUACGUAGGUAAGAAACGUUCUUGCUAGAAACCUAUAGAAGCCACGUAAAAAACAUGCAACAACAAUUAGAGGACGUCUAACUUGUUUUUGCAGCAUAUGCCUUGUGAUGUGAUAUGGCCAAAAGGAUGUGAUGAAUGAUAUAUGUGAUAUAUGAGAUUGAUCAUGUUCUUGUAAUAGGAAUCACGACUUGCAUGUCGAUGAGUAUGACAACCGGCAGCAGCCAUAUGAGUUGUCUUUAUUUUUGUAUGACCUACGUGUCAUUGAAUAACGCCAUGUAAAUUACUUUACUUUAUUGCUAAACACGUUAGCCAUAGAAGUAGAAGUAAUCGUUGGCGUGACAACUUCAUGAAGACACGAUGAUGGAGAUCAUGAUGAUGGAGAUCAUGGUGUCAUGCCGGUGACGAAGAUGAUCAUGGCGCCCCAAAGAUGGAGAUCAAAGGAGCAAUAUGAUACUGGCCAUAUCAUGUCACUAUUUGAUUGCAUGUGAUGUUUAUCAUGUUUUACAUCUUAUUUGCUUAGAACGAUGGUAGCUUAAAUAAGAUGAUCCCUCGCAAUAAUUUCAAGAAAGUGUUCCCCCUAACUGUGCACCGUUGCGAAGGUUCGUUGUUUCGAAGCACCACGUGAUGAUUGGGUGUGAUAGAUUCUAACGUACGAAUACAACGGGUGUAAGCCAGAUUUACACACGCAAUACACUUAGGUUGACUUGACGAGCCUAGCAUGUACAGACAUGGCCUCGGAACACGGUAGACCGAAAGGUCGAGCAUGAGUCGUAUAGAAGAUACGAUCAACAUGAAGAUGUUCACCGAUGUUGACUAGUCCAUCUCACGUGAUGAUCGGAUACGGCCUAGUUGACUCGGAUCAUGUUUCACUUAGAUGACUAGAGGGAUGUCUAUCUGAGUGGGAGUUCAUUGAAUAAUUUGAUUAGAUGAACUUAAUUAUCAUGAACUUAGUCUAAAAUCUUUACAAUAUGUCUUGUAGAUCAAAUGGCCCACGCUAAUGUUGCCCUCAACUUCAACGCGUUCCUAGAGAAAACCAAGCUGAAAGAUGAUGGCAGUAACUAUACGGACUGGGUCCGGAACCUGAGGAUCAUCCUCAUAGCUGCCAAGAAAGAUUAUGUCCUAGAAGCACCGCUAGGUGACGCACCCAUCCCAGAGAACCAAGACGUUAUGAACGCUUGGCAUCAGCGUGCUGAUGAUUACUCCCUCGUUCAGUGCGGCAUGCUUUACAGCUUAGAACCGGGGCUCCAAAAGUGUUUUGAGCAACACGAAGCAUAUGAGAUGUUCGAAGAGCUGAAAAUGGUUUUCCAAGCUCAUGCCCGGGUCGAGAGAUAUGAAGUCUGCGACAAGUUCUUCAGUUGUAAGAUGGAGGAAAAUAGUUCUGUCAGUGAGCACAUACUCAAAAUGUCUGGGUUACACAACCGCUUGACUCAGCUGGGAGUUAAUCUCCCGGAUGACGCGGUCAUUGACAGAAUCCUUCAGUCGCUUCCACUGAGCUACAAGAGCUUUGUGAUGAACUUCAAUAUGCAGGGGAUGGAAAAGACCAUUCCUGAGGUAUAUUCAAUGCUGAAAUCAGCGGAGGUGGAGAUCAAAAAGGAACAUCAAGUGUUGAUGGUGAAUAAAACCACUAAGUUCAAGAAAGGCAAGGGUAAGAAGAACUUCAAGAAGGACGACAAGGGAGUUGCCGCGCCCGGUAAGCCAGUUGCCGGGAAGAAGCCAAAGAAUGGACCCAAGCCUGAGACUGAGUGCUUUUAUUGCAAGGGAAAUGGUCACUGGAAGCGGAACUGCCCCAAGUACUUAGCGAACAAGAAGGCCGGCAACACCAAAGGUAUAUGUGAUAUACAUGUUAUUGAUGUGUACCUUACAGCACUCGUAGUAGCUCCUGGGUAUUUGAUACCGGUGCGGUUGCUCAUAUUUGUAACUCAAAGCAGGAGCUGCGGAAUAAAAGGAGACUGGCAAAGGACGAGGUGACGAUGCGCGUCGGGAAUGGUUCCAAGGUCGAUGUGAUCGCCGUCGGCACGCUACCUCUACAUUUACCUACGGGAUUAUUUUUAAACCUCAAUAAUUGUUAUUUAGUGCCAGCUUUGAGCAUGAACAUUGUAUCAGGAUCUCGUUUAAUUCGACAUGGCUACUCAUUUAAAUCCGAGAAUAAUGGUUGUUCUAUUUAUAUGAGAGAUAUGUUUUAUGGUCAUGCCCCGCUGGUUAAUGGUUUAUUCUUAAUGAAUCUCGAACGUAGUGUUACACAUAUUCAUAGUGUGAAUACCAAAAGAUGUAAGGUUGAUAAUGAUAGUCCCACAUACUUGUGGCACUGCCGUCUUGGUCACGUUGGUGUCAAACGCAUGAAGAAGCUCCAUGCAGAUGGACUUUUGGAGUCUCUUGAUUACGAAUCAUUUGACACAUGCGAACCAUGCCUCAUGGGUAAGAUGACCAAGACUCCGUUCUUCGGAACAAUGGAGCGAGCAACCAACUUAUUGGAAAUCAUACAUACUGAUGUGUGUGGUCCAAUGAGUGUUGAGGCUCGCGGUGGCUAUCGUUAUGUUCUCACUCUCACUGAUGACUUGAGUAGAUAUGGGUAUGUCUACCUAAUGAAACACAAGUCUGAGAGCUUUGAAAAGUUCAAGGAAUUUCAGAGUGAGGUUGAGAAUCAACGUGACAGGAAAAUAAAAUUCUUACGAUCAGAUCGUGGAGGGGAAUAUUCGAGUCACGAAUUUGGCACACACUUAAGGAAAUGUGGAAUAGUUUCACAACUCACACCGCCUGGAACACCUCAGCGAAAUGGUGUGUCUGAACGUCGUAAUCGCACUCUAUUGGAUAUGGUGCGAUCUAUGAUGUCUCUUACCGAUCUACCGCUCUCAUUUUGGGGCUAUGCUUUAGAGACUACCGCAUUCACUUUAAAUAGGGCUCCGUCGAAAUCUGUUGAGACGACACCGUAUGAAUUAUGGUUUGGGAAGAAACCUAAGCUGUCGUUUCUAAAAUUUUGGGGAUGCGAUGCUUAUGUGAAGAAACUUCAACCUGAAAAGCUCGAACCCAAAUCGGAAAAAUGCGUCUUCAUAGGAUACCCUAAGGAAACUAUUGGGUAUACCUUCUACCUCAGAUCCGAAGGCAAGGUCUUUGUUGCCAAGAAUGGAUGCUUUCUGGAGAAGGAGUUUCUCUCGAAAGAAGUGAGUGGGAGGAAAGUAGAACAUGAUGAGGUGAUAGUCACCCCUUCCGAACCGGAAAGUAGCGCAGCGCGGGAAGAUGUUCCUGUGGUGCCUGCACCGACUGGGGAGGAAGUUAAUGAUGAUGAUCAUGAAGCUUCGGAUCAAGCUCCUACUGAACUUCGUAGGUCCACAAGGACACGUUCCGCGCCAGAGUGGUACGGCAACCCUGUCUUGGAAAUCAUGUUGUUAGACAACGGUGAACCUUCGAACUAUGAAGAAGCAAUGGCGGGCCCAGAUUCCGACAAAUGGCUAGAAGCCAUGAAAUCCGAGAUAGGAUCCAUGUAUGAAAACGAAGUAUGGACUUUGACUGACUUGCCCGAUGAUCGGCGAGCCAUAGAAAAUAAAUGGAUCUUUAAGAAGAAGACAGACGCGGAUGGUAAUGUGACCAUCUAUAAGGCUCGACUUGUCGCUAAGGGUUAUCGACAAGUUCAAGGGGUUGACUAUGAUGAGACUUUCUCACCCGUAGCGAAGCUGAAGUCCGUCCGAAUCAUGUUAGCAAUUGCCGCAUUCUAUGAUUAUGAGAUAUGGCAAAUGGACGUCAAAACGGCAUUCCUUAACGGCUUUCUUAAGGAAGAAUUGUAUAUGAUGCAGCCGGAAGGUUUUGUCGAUCCUAAGAAUGCUAACAAGGUAUGCAAGCUCCAGCGCUCCAUCUAUGGGCUGGUGCAAGCAUCUCGGAGUUGGAACAUUCGAUUUUAUGAGAUGAUCAAAGCGUUUGGGUUUACACAGACUUAUGGAGAAGCCUGUGUUUACAAGAAAGUGAGUGGGAGCUCUGUAGCAUUUCUCAUAUUAUAUGUGGAUGACAUACUGUUGAUGGGAAAUGAUAUAGAAUUCUUGGGAAGCAUAAAGGCUACUUGAACAAGUGUUUUUCUAUGAAGGACCUUGGAGAAGCUGCUUAUAUAUUAGGCAUCAAGAUCUAUAGAGAUAGAUCAAGACGCCUCAUUGGUCUUUCACAAAGUACGUACCUUGACAAGAUAUUGAAGAAGUUCAAUAUGGAUCAGUCCAAGAAGGGGUUCUUGCUUGUAUUGCAAGGUGUGCAAUUGAGCACGGCUCAAUGCCCGACCACGGCAGAAGAUAGAGAAAAGAUGAGUGUCGUCCCCUAUGCCUCGGCCAUAGGGUCUAUUAUGUAUGCCAUGCUGUGUACCAGACCUGAUGUAAACCUUCGUAAGUUUGGUAGGAAGGUACCAAAGUAAUCCCGGCAUGGAACACUAGACAGCGGUCAAGAACAUCCUGAAGUACCUGAAAAGGACUAAGGAUAUGUUUCUCGUUUAUGGAGGUGACGAAGAGCUCGCCGUAAAGGGUUACGUCGAUGCUAGUUUCUACACAGAUCUGGAUGACUCUAAGUCACAAACCGGAUACAUGUAUAUUUUGAAUGGUGGGGCAGUAAGCUGGUGCAGUUGCAAGCAAAGCGUUGUGGCGGGAUCUACAUGUGAAGCGGAAUACAUGGCGGCCUCAGAGGCAGCACAAGAAGCAAUCUGGGUGAAGGAGUUCAUUACCGACCUAGGAGUUAUUCCCAAUGCGUCGGGCCCGAUGACUCUCUUCUGUGACAACACUGGAGCUAUUGCCCUUGCCAAGGAGCCCAGGUUUCACAGGAAGACCAGGCAUAUCAAGCGUCGCUUCAACUCCAUUCGUGAAAAUGUUCAAAAUGGAGACAUAGAUAUUUGUAAAGUACAUACGGACCUGAAUGUAGCAGAUCCGUUGACUAAACCUCUCCCUAGAGCAAAACAUGAUCAACACCAGAACUCUAUGGGUGUUCGAUUCAUCAUAAUGUAACUAGAUUAUUAACUCUAGUGCAAGUGGGAGACUGUUGGAAAUAUGCCCUAGAGGCAAUAAUAAAAUGGUUAUUAUUAUAUUUCCUUGUUCGUGAUAAUUGUCUAUUUUUCAUGCUAUAAUUGUGUUAUCCGGAAAUAGUAAUACAUGUGUGAAUACAUAGACCACAACAUGUCCCUAGUGAGCCUCUAGUUGACUAGCUCGUUGAUCAACAGAUAGUCAUGGUUUCCUGACUAUGGACAUUGGAUGUCAUUGAUAACGGGAUCACAUCAUUAGGAGAAUGAUGUGAUGGACAAGACCCAAUCCUAAGCAUAGCACAAGAUCGUGUAGUUCGUUUGCUAGAGCUUUUCCAAAUGUCAAGUAUCAUUUCCUUAGACCAUGAGAUUGUGCAACUCCUGGAUACCAUAGGAGUGCUUUGGGUGUGCCAAACGUCACAACGUAACUGGGUGGCUAUAAAGGUGCACUACGGGUAUCUCCGAAAGUGUUUGUUGGGUUGGCACGAAUCGAGACUGCGAUUUGUCACUCCGUAUGACGGAGAGGUAUCUCUGGGCCCACUUGGUAAUGCAUCAUCAUAAUGAGCUCAAUGUGACCAAGUGUUUGGUCACGGGAUCAUGCAUUACGGUACGAGUAAAGUGACUUGCCGGUAACGAGAUUGAACAAGGUAUUGGGAUACCGACGAUCGAAUCUCGGGCAAGUAACGUACCGAUUGACAAAGGGAAUUGUAUACGAGAUUGAUUGAAUCCUCGACAUCGUGGUUCAUCCGAUGAAAUCAUCGUGGAACAUGUGGGAGCCAACAUGGGUAUCCAGAUCCCGCUGUUGGUUACUGACCGGAGAGUCGUCUCGGUCAUGUCUGCAUGUCUCCCGAACCCGUAGGGUCUACACACUUAAGGUUCGGUGACGCUAGGGUUGUAGAGAUAUUAGUGUGCGGAAAUCCGAAAGUUGUUCGGAGUCCCGGAUGAGAUCCCGGACGUCACGAGGAGUUCCAGAAUGGUCCGGAGGUGAAGAAUUAUAUAUAGGAAGUCCAGUUUCGGCCACCGGGAAAGUUUUGGGGGUCACCGGUAUUGUACCGGGACCACCGGAAGGGUCCCGGGGGUCCACCGGGUGGGGCCACCAAUCCCGGAGAGCCCCAUGGGCUGAAGUGGGGAAGGGAACCAGCCCCUGGUGGGCUGGUGCGCCCCCUUGGGCCUCCCCUGCGCCUAGGGUUGGAAACCCUAGGGGUGGGGGGCGCCCCACUUGGCUUGGGGGGGCAAGCCACCCCCUUGGCAACCGCCCCCCUUGGAGAUUGCAUCUCCUAGGGCCGGCGCCCCCCAGGGGCCCUAUGUAAAGGGGGGAGGGAGGGCAGCCGCACCCAAGCCCUGGCGCCUCCCUCUCCCUCCCGUGACACUUCUCCCUCUCGCUGAGCUUGGCGAAGCCCUGCCGAGAUCCCCGCUGCUUCCACCACCACGCCGUCGUGCUGCUGGAUCUCCAUCAACCUCUCCUCCCCCCUUGCUGGAUCAAGAAGGAGAAGACGUCUUCCCAACCGUACGUGUGUUGAACGCGGAGGUGCCGUCUGUUCGGCGCUCGGUCAUCGGUGAUUUGGAUCACGACGAGUACGACUCCAUCAACCCCGUUCUCUUGAACGCUUCCGCUCGCAAUCUACAAGGGUAUGUAGAUGCACUCCUCUCUCUCGUUGCUAGAUGACUCCAUAUAUUGAUCUUGGUGAUGCAAAGAAAAUUUUAAAUUUCUGCUACGAUCCCCAACAUGGGCGUGCCACGGGGGUGCGCCCUCUUCGCCUGUAGGUGGAGUUGAGAUGGGACCGACUUUUCCCAGCAAAUUGCCUGAGUUUUCCAGGCGCUUUCCAUCGCGCUGUACUUUUAUACAAUAGUUGCUAAGUCAGCGAACUUCAGUGUGCAGCGGCGAUUGAUGGCGUUAAGGAUACCUUCGUCCGCCCAGUUGGUGCAGAACGCUGAUAUCGCGUCCUUGUCGCGGCAAUGUUUUACCUUAUCUUUGACAAGGAGGAAUCUGGCCUAGAAGUGGUGGACCGUUUCCUGAGACUGCUGUUUGAUGCUCAUGAGAGCGUCUAUGUCCGGGUGGGUGGGUGGAAUUAAAUCCGAACCCUGAUCCGACCAAUUACCCGGAGUCCGAAGACCUUCCAGACUCAACAGUCCGGGCUCCGAAGUAUCUUCUAAUUGUUUAGGACUGCCGUCCGAUUCUAUGUUCGGAGGGCUGGUCGCAUCCUUUCGCUGGUGGGUAUCCGGUUCUUCCAGGUCGGUGAUCCGAACAUAGUCUGUCUUCCAUAUAGAAGAAGACUCGCCGUCCUGCUCCUCGACUACCGCUAUCUGGUGGGUGACCGGUGGAGUUUUAAUUUCUCCUUGAUCGGUUUUAGGCCCGAUCCGGUCGUAACUUGUGGUGAUUCCCAAAGCGGCGAUGCGAUCUAGGAGCUCGUUCAAGGACGAAAACUCUGCCGGAUCCAUCUUCCUGGAGUGUUCGGAGUUGAUGCGAAGGGGGUUUUCGAUGGCCCGAGAGGUCAUCGUCGGCUCAACGGCCGAACGGGCGAUCAUGGUAAAGCCGCCAAGCCGGAGGGUUUGGCCUGGGGCCAGGACUCCCCCGGAGGUGAUGUUGUCUUUAAGGACAAGGCGAGUCAUCGAACCUUUCGUUGACGGCACAGUGGAACUCUCAAUGAAAGCACCAAUGUCGGUGCCAAAACCGGCGGAUCUCGGGUAGGGGGUCUCGAACUGUGCGUCUAAGGUCGAUGGUAACAGGAGACGGGGGACACGAUGUUUACCCAGGUUCGGGCCCUCUCUAUGGAGGUAAUACCCUACUUCCUGCUUGAUUUAUCUUGAUGAAUAUGAGUAUUACAAGAGUUGAUCUACCACGAGAUCGUAAUGGCUAAACCCUAGAGACCUAGCCUGUAUGACUAUGGUAAUGAGUAUAUCCUUUCCGGACUACGACCUCCGAUUUAUAUAGACACCGGAGGGAUCUAGGGUUACAUAGAGUCGGUUACAUAAGAAGGAAUCUUCAUAGUCGGUCGCCUAGCUUGCCUCCCACGCCAAGGAAAUUCCUAUCCGGAUACGGGUAUAGUCUUCGGUCUUCAUGUCUUCACAGCCCACCAGUCCGGCCCAUGGAUAACAGGUCGGACGUCCGAGGACCCCUUAGUCUAGGACUCCCUCAACAGGGACUACGGAUUAAGCGAAGAUUGGCUAAGGACGAGGUGACAAUGCGCGUGGGAAAUGGUUCCAAAGUCGAUGUGAUCGCGGUCGGCACGCUACCUCUACAUCUACCUCCGGGAUUAGUUUUAGACCUAAAUAAUUGUUAUUUGGUGCCAGCGUUAAGCAUGAACAUUAUAACUGGAUCUUGUUUGAUGCGAGACGGUUAUUCAUUUAAAUCAUAGAAUAAUGGUUGUUCUAUUUUAUAUGAGUAAUAUCUUUUAUGGUCAUGCACCCUUGAAGAGUGGUCUAUUUUUAUUAAAUCUCGAUAGUAGUGAUACACAUAUUCAUAAUAUUGAAGCCAAAAGAUGCAGAGUUGAUAAUGAUAGUGCAACUUAUUUGUGGCACUGCCGUUUAGGUCAUAUUGGUGUAAAGCGCAUGAAGAAACUCCAUACUGAUCGACUUUUGGAAUCACUUGGUACUUGCGAACCAUGCCUCAUGGGCAAGAUGACUAAAACACCGUUCUCCGGAACAAUGGAGCGAGCAACAGAUUUGUUGGAGAUCAUACAUACUGAUGUAUGUGGUCCGAUGAAUAUUGAGGCUCGCGGCGGGUAUCGUUAUUUUCUCACCUUCACAGAUGAUUUGAGCAGAUAUGGGUAUAUCUACUUAAUGAAACAUAAGUCUGAGACAUUUGAAAAGUUCAAAGAAUUUCAGAGUGAAGUGGAAAAUCAUCGUAACAAGAAAAUAAAGUUUCUACGAUCUGAUCGUGGAGGAGAAUAUUUGAGUUACGAAUUUUGUCUACAUUUGAAACAAUGCGGAAUAGUUUCGCAACUCAUGCCACCCUGAACACCAUAGCGUAAUGGUGUGUCCGAACGUCAUAAUCGUACUUUACUAGAUAUGGUGUGAUCUAUGAUGUCUCUUACUGAUUUACCGCUAUCGUUUUGGGGUUAUGCUUUAGAGACGGUUGCAUUCACGUUAAAUAGGGCACCAUCAAAAUCCGUUGAGACGACGUCUUAUGAACUGUGGUUUGGCAAGAAACCAAAGUUGUCGUUUCUUAAAGUUAGGGGCUGCAAUGCUUAUGUGAAAAAGCUUCAACCUGAUAAGCUCGAACCCAAAUCGAAGAUAUGUGUCUUCAUAGGAUACCCAAAGGAAACUGUUGGGUACACCUUCUAUCACAGAUCCGAAGGCAAGACAUUCGUUGCUAAGAAUGGAUCCUUUCUAGAGAAGGAGUUUCUCUCGGAAGAAGUGAGUGGGAGGAAAGUAGAACUUGAUGAGGUAACUGUACCUGCUCCUUUAUUGGAAAGUUGUUCAUCAUAGAAACCGAUUCCUGUGACACCUACACCAAUUAGUGAGGAAGCUAAUGAUGUUGAUCAUGAAACUUCAGAUCAAGUUACUACCAAAUCUCAUAGGUCAACCAGAGUAAGAUCCGCACCAGAGUGGUACGGUAAUCCUAUUCUGGAGGUCAUGUUACUUGACCAAGGCAAACCUACGAACUAUGAAGAAGCGAUGGUGAGCCCAGAUUCCGCAAAAUGGCUUGAGGCCAUGAAAUCUGAGAUGGGAUCCAUGUAUGAGAACAAAGUGUGGACUUUGGUUGACUUGCCCGAUGAUCGGCAAGCCAUAGAAAAUAAAUGGACCUUCAAGAAGAAGACUGACGCUGACGGUAAUGUUACUAUCUACAAAGCUCGACUUGUUGCAAAAGGUUUUCGACAAGUUCAAGGAGUUGACUACGAUGAGAAUUUCUCACCCGUAGCGAUGUUUAAGUCUGUCUGAAUCAUGUUAGCAAUUGCUGCAUUUUAUGAUUAUGAAAUUUGGCAAAUGGAUGUCAAAACUACAUUCCUGAAUGGAUUUCUGGAAGAAGAGUUGUAUAUGAUGCAACCGGAAGGUUUUGUCGAUCCAAAGGGAGCGAACAAAGUGUGCAAGCUCCAGCGAUCCAUUUAUGGACUGGUGCAAGCCUCUCGGAGUUGGAAUAAACGUUUUGAUAGUGUGAUCAAAGCAUAUGGUUUUAUACCGACUUUUGGAAAGCCUAUAUUUACAAGAAAGUGAGUGGGAGCUCUGUAGCAUUUCUAAUAUUAUAUGUGGAUGACAUAUUAUAUGUAGAAUUUUUGAAUAGCAUAAAAGGAUACUUGAAUAAGAGUUUUUCAAUGAAGGCCCUCGGUGAAGCUGCUUAUAUAUCGGGCAUCAAGAUCUAUAGAGAUAGAUCAAGACGCUUAAUUGGACUUUCACAAAGCACAUACCUUGACAAAGUUUUGAAGAAGUUCAAAAUGGAUCAAGCAAAGAAAGGGUUCUUGCCUGUGUUACAAGGUGUGAAGUUGAGUCAGACUCAAUGCCCGACCACUGUAGAAGAUAGAGAGAAAAUGAAAGGUGUUCCCUAUGCUUCAGCCAUAGGCUCUAUCAUGUAUGCAAUGCUGUGUACCAGACCUGAUGUGUGCCUUGCUAUUAGCUUAGCAGGGAGGUACCAAAGUAAUCCAUGGAUGGAUCACUGGACAGCGGUCAAGAAUAUCCUGAAAUACCUGAAAAGGACGAAGGAUAUGUUUCUCGUUUAUGGAGGUGACAAAGAGCUCGUCGUAAAUGGUUACAUUGAUGCAAGCUUUGACACUGAUCCGGACGAUUCUAAAUCGCAAACCGGAUACGUGUUUACAUUGAACGGUUGAGCUGUCAGUUGGUGCAGUUCUAAACAAAGCGUCGUGGCGGGAUCUACGUGUGAAGUGGAGUACAUAGCUGCUUCAGAAGCAGCAAAUGAAGGAGUCUGGAUGAAGGAGUUCAUAUCCGAUCUAGAUGUCAUACCUAGUGCAUCGGGUCCAAUGAAAAACUUUUGUGACAAUACUGGUGCAAUUGCCUUAGCAAAGGAAUCCAGAUUUCACAAGAGAACCAAGCACAUCAAGAGACGCUUCAAUUCCAUCCGGGACCAAGUCCAGGUGGGAGACAUAGAGAUUUGCAAGAUACAUACGGAUCUGACCCGUUGACUAAGCCUCUUCCAUGAGCAAAACAUGAUCAGCACCAAGACUCCAUGGGUGUUAGAAUCAUUAAUGUGUAAUCUAGAUUACUGACUCUAGUGCAAGUGGGAGACUGAAGGAAAUAUGCCCUAGAGGCAAUAAUAAAGUUAUUAUUUAUUUCCUCAUAUCAUGAUAAAUGUUUACUAUUCAUGCUAGAAUUGUAUUAACCGAAAACAUAAUACACGUGUGAAUACAUAGACAAACAUAGUGUCACUAGUAUGCCUCUACUUGACUAGCUCGUUGAUCAAAGAUGGUUGAGUUUCAUAGCCAUAGACAUGAGUUGUCAUUGGAUUCACGGGAUCACAUCAUUAGGAGAAUGAUGUGAUUGACUUGACCCAUUCCGUUAGCUUAGCACUUGAUCGUUUAGUUUACUGCUAUUGCUUUCUUCAUGACUUAUACAUGUUCCUAUGACUAUGAGAUUAUGCAACUCCAGAUUACCGGAGGAACACUUUGUGUGCUACCAAACGUCACAACGUAACUGGGUGAUUAUAAAGGUGCUCUACAGGUGUCUCCGAUGGUACUUGUUGAGUUGGCAUAAAUCGAGAUUAGGAUUUGUCACUCCGAUUGUCGGAGAGGUAUCUCUGGGCCCUCUCGGUAAUGCACAUCACUAUAAGCCUCGCAAGCAAUGUGACUAAUAAGUUAGUUGCGGGAUGAUGCAUUACGGAACGAGUAAAGAUACUUGCCGGUAACGAGAUUGAGCUAGGUAUUGAGAUACCGACGAUCGAAUCUCGGGCAAGUAACAUACCGAUGAUAAAGGGAACAACGUAUGUUGUUAUGCGGUUAGACCGAUAAAGAUCUUCAUAGAAUAUGUAGGAGCCAAUAUGAGCAUCCAGGUUCCGCUAUUGGUUAUUGACCGGAGACGUGUCUCAUUCAUGUCUACAUAGUUCUCGAACCCAUAGGGUCCGCACACUUAAAGUUCUGUGACGAUCGGUAUUAUGAGUUUUUGUGUUUUGAUGUACCGAAGGUAGUUCGGAGUCCCGGAUGUGAUCACAGGCAUGACGAGGAGUCUCAAAAUGGUCGAAACAUAAAGAUCGAUAUAUUGGACGGCUAUGUUCGAACACCGGAAAGGUUCCGGAAGGUUUCAGGCAUAUACCGGAGUACCGGGGGUUACCGGAACCCCCCGGGGAGUUAAUUGGGCCUCAUGGGCCCUAGUGGGAGAAGAGGAGGGGCGGCCAGGGCAGCCGCGUGCCCCCUCCCCUCUAGUUCGAAUUGGACAAGGAGGGGGGCGGCGCCCCCCUUUUUCCUUCUCUUCCUCUCUCCCUUCCUUUCCUUCUCCUACUCCUACUAGGAAAAGAGGAGUCCUACUCCCGGUGGGAGUAGGACUCCCCCCUUGGCGCGCCCUCCUCUUGGCCGGCCACCUCCCCCUAGCUCCUUUAUAUACGGGUGCAGGGGGUACCCCAAAGACACAACAAUUGAUCAUUGAUCAUUUAGCCGUGUGCGGUGCCCCCCUCCACCACAAUCCACCUCGGUCAUAUCGUAGCGGUGCUUAGGCAAAGCCCUGCGUCGGUAGCUUCAUCAACAUCGUCACCACACUGUCGUGCUGACGAAACUAUCCUUCGAUCUCUACUGGAUCGUGAGUUCGUGGGACGUCACCGAGCUGAACGUGUGCUGAACGCGGAGGUGCCGUAUGUUUGGUGCUGAAGAUCGGUCGAUCGUAAAGACGUACGACUACAUCAACCGCGUUGUUAUAACGCUUCCUCUUAACGGUCUACGAGGGUACGUGGACGACACUUUCCCCUCUCGUUGCUAUGCAUCACCAUGAUCUUGGGUGUGCGUAGGAAUUUUUUUGAAAUUACUACGUUCCCCUACACUAUCUUGCAUACAAAAACGUUUCGAGUCGGUAGUGGUAAUAUUAUUGGGAAGGGAGUUAUUCAAGACUUCUUUACUUGUGCCGGUGCUUUGCUCAUUAUGGGUGGUUCUAUUCUUCAUAGAACUAGUAGUCUUGCGGAUGCAAUAUCCUUGCUCGUAGUUGAACUUGAAAGGCAAUUUCUUCAUAUGCAUCCUUGCAUACAAAGAAUUUUCCUAGAAUUUUCUAAUAUUGAGUACUCUUCUGUUAAGCGUGACGCUACUAUCUUUUUGGCUCAUGAGUUCAGAUUUAUAAUGAAAGAAGCUAAAGAAAUUUUUGCGCAUUAUAGGGUGGAUGUUGGUCAUCCUCCCAUAGAAGCUAUCCUUUUUAAUCAAGAAGACAUAAUGCGUUUACAAUCUUUGGAUCAUGCUGCUUAUAAUGAAAACCUUAGAAAAAAGGUUCCUACCGAUGUCCUAGUUGAUAGAAUUUCCGAACUUAAUGAUGACUUUGCUAUUUAGAAUAAUGGGUUAGGUUUUUCUCUUGAGCAAAGACUCAUGACUUUUUGUCAAAAGAACGCUUGUAAUGAUGAAUUGGUUGUGCAAUAUAAGGGGCCAAGGGAGGAACCCAUACCUCUCGAGCUUGAUCUUGGGGACUUUUGUCCUAUUAAAUUUAACCCCUUUGAUUACUUUUGCUUGCCACAAAGGAAACUUGCUGCUGAACGUAGAGAAUACGAAAGGAGUUUUCAUGAUUUACCUUACCAUUAUUAUGGCAAUACCUAGAUCUAUCCUCGCUUUUAUGCCUAGCUAGGGGCGUUAAACGAUAGCGCUUGUUGGGAGGCAACCCAAUUUUAUUUUUGUUUCUUGCUUUUUGGUUCUGUUUAGUAAUAAAUUUUUGAUCUAGCCUCUGGUUAGAUGUGGUUUUGUGUUUUAAUUUGUGUUUGUGCCAAGUAGAACCUUUAGGAUAACCUACGGUGGUAGUUAAUUUGAUCUUGCUCAAAAACAGAAACUUUUGCGCGCACGAGAUUAGUUUUCAUAAAUCACAGAAACGUGCUUUUCAGUUGAUUAUUUUUGCAGAAGAUUAAUAAAAUAAUUAUCUAGGACUUCCUAAUUUAUCAGAAUUUUUUGUAUUACAGAAGUUUAUACAGAUUGCUACACACUGUUCUGUUUCUGACAGAUUCUGUUUUUUGUGUGUUGUUUGCUUAUUUUGAUGAAUCUAUGGCUAGUAAUGGAGCUUAUGAACCAUAGAGAAGUUUGAAUACAGUAGGUUUAACACCAAUAUAAAUAAAGAAUGAGUUCAUUACAGUACCUUGAAGUGGUGUUUUGUUUUUUUUCGCUAACGGAGCUCACGAGAUUUUCUGUUAAGUUUUGUGUUGUGAAGUUUUCAAGUUUUGGGUAAAGAUUUGAUGGAUUAUGGAACAAGGAUUGGCAAGAGCCUAAGCUUGGGGAUGCCCAAGGCACCCCAAGGUAAAAUUCAAGGACAACCAAAAGCCUAAACUUGGGGAUGCCCCGGAAGUCAUCCCCUCCUUCGUCUUCGUCUAUCGGUAACUUUACUUGGGGCUAUAUUUUUAUUCACCACAUGAUAUGUGUUUUGCUUGGAGCGUCUUGUAUGAUUUGAGUCUUCACUUUUUAGUUUACCACAAUCAUCCUUGCUGUACACACCUUUUGAGAGAGACACACAUGAUUCGGAAUUUGUUAGAAUACUAUAUGUGGUUCACUUAUAUCUUUUGAGCUAUAUAGUUUUUGCUCUAGUGCUUCACUUAUAUGUUUUUAGAGCACGGUGGUGGUUUUAUUUUAUAGAAAUUAUUGAUCUCUCAUGCUUCACUUAUAUUAUUUUGAGAGUCUUAACAGCAUGGUAAUUUGCUUUGACAUCUAAGAUGGGUAUAAUAAACACCUCCAUAUUGAGUUCAUUGAAUAUCAUGAGAAGUUGAUACUUGAUAAUUGUUUUGAGAUAUAAAGGUGGUAAUAUUAGAGUUGUGCUAGUUGAGUAAUUGUGAAAUUGAGAAAUACUUGUGUUAAGGUUGGCAAGUCCCGUAGCAUGCACGUACGGUUAAUGUUCUGUGACAAAUUUGAAGCAUAAGGUGUUCUUUUAUUGCUUUCCUUAUGUGUGGAGGUCGGGAUCUCGCGAUGGUUAACUCCUACCAACCCUUCCCCUAGGGGCAUGCGUAGUAGUACUUUGCUUCGAGGGCUAAUAAACUUUGGCAAUAAGUAUAUGAGUUCUUUAUGACUAAUGUGAGUCCAUGGCUUAUACGCACUCUCAACCUUCCACAAUUUUCUAGCCUCUACGGUACCGUGCAUUGCCCUUUCUCGCCUUGAGAGUUGGUGCAAACUUCGCCGGUGCAUCAAAACCCCAAGAUAUGAUACGCUCUAUCACACAUAAACCUCCUUAUAUCUUCCUCAAAACAGCCACCAUACCUACCUAUCAUGGCAUUUCCAUAGCCAUUCUGAGAUAUAUUGCCAUGCAACUUUCCACCGCUCCGUUUAUUAUGACACGCUCCAUCAUUGUCAUAUUGCUUCGCAUGAUCAUGUAGUUGACAUCGUAUUUGUGGCAAAGCCACCAUUCAUAAUUUUUCAUACAUGUCACUCUUGAUUCAUUGCAUAUCCCGGUACACCGCCGGAGGCAUUCACAUAGAGUCAUAUUUUGUUCUAAGUAUUGAGUUGUAAUUCUUGAGUUGUAAGUGUGAUGAUCAUCAUUAUUAGAGCAUUGUCCCAUGUGAGGAAAGGAUGAUGGAGACUAUGAUUCCCCCACAAGUCGGGAUGAGAUUCGAACUAAAUAAAAAAAGAGGCCAAAGAAAAAAACAAAAAGGCCCAAGAAAAAGAAAAAAAGAAAAAAAA
Molecule: long non-coding RNA, 71987 nt
Filed under: Triticum aestivum (bread wheat)
Lineage: Eukaryota; Viridiplantae; Streptophyta; Magnoliopsida; Poales; Poaceae
Description: long non-coding RNA (TAES_LNC024538)
Source: RNAcentral